GUGAUCAGUCUAACGAGUCAAAUGAAUCUAACGAAGGUAAAGCCAGCGAAAACGCUGCAACCGUAACCAAAAUGAAGCUUGUAGACAUUGAGAAACGACCUCCUAGAGUACCUCGCCCGCCUCCAAGAUCAGCUGGAGGUGGUAAAAGUACUAACUUGCCUUCAGCAAGACCUCCUUUACCUGGUGGUGGUCCACCACCACCUCCUCCACCACCUGGCGGUGGACCGCCUCCUCCACCUGGCGGUGGACCACCUCCACCACCACCUCCUCCUGGAGCACUUGGAAGAGGAGCGGGAGGCGGGAACAAAGUUCACCGAGCUCCUGAGCUUGUUGAGUUUUAUCAAUCAUUGAUGAAACGUGAAUCGAAGAAAGAAGGUGCACCUUCUUUGAUCUCUUCAGGAACUGGUAAUUCUUCAGCAGCUAGGAACAAUAUGAUUGGGGAAAUCGAGAACCGAUCAACAUUCCUCUUAGCAGUAAGUUCACACUUUCAAUAUAAUGUUAAAUGCAAUUGGAUUUGAAACAAAGAAUCAAUUGUUUAAACUUGAUUACAGGUAAAAGCGGAUGUGGAGACACAAGGGGACUUUGUACAGUCGUUAGCAACUGAAGUCCGAGCUUCUUCUUUCACCGACAUAGAAGAUCUCUUGGCGUUCGUUAGCUGGCUAGAUGAAGAGCUCUCCUUCUUGGUCAUUAACUCCUCUUUUCAACAUUACUUUCUAACCGCUAUUUCGGUUUUUUUUUUAAAACUCACGGAUCAAUCUCUAUCGUUUUGUGUAGGUUGAUGAAAGGGCAGUUCUUAAACACUUUGACUGGCCAGAAGGUAAAGCUGAUGCGCUACGAGAAGCAGCUUUUGAAUAUCAAGAUCUUAUGAAACUGGAGAAGCAAGUUACGUCCUUUGUUGAUGAUCCUAAUCUCUCUUGUGAACCUGCUUUGAAGAAGAUGUACAAGUUGCUAGAGAAGUAAGUAAAAUGUCAAUCCGAAAAACACACACUAAAUCUUUCCUUACUAAUGUUCCAUUUCUGUUUCUUUCACAGGGUUGAACAAAGUGUAUACGCGCUUUUACGUACGAGAGACAUGGCGAUUUCACGAUAUAAAGAAUUCGGGAUUCCAGUUGAUUGGUUAUCUGAUACUGGCGUCGUAGGAAAGGUAAAACACAUUUGUUCUUUCUGAUCCCCUUCCAUUUAUCUUUUUAUCUGGAAAACAAUCUUGAAAAUGCUCUGUUUGGUUUUUGUUUCAUUUUCAUCACAACACAGAUCAAGCUUUCGUCAGUCCAGCUCGCGAAGAAGUACAUGAAACGAGUAGCUUAUGAGCUAGAUUCAGUGAGCGGAUCCGAUAAAGAUCCGAACAGAGAGUUCUUGCUUCUCCAAGGUGUUCGUUUCGCGUUUAGAGUCCAUCAGGUAAAAUAAAAACAAGAAACAUAAGAAACCUAAAAUGACCAAAAUUUCUCAGUUGUUUGAAUAUAUAACUGAAUAUGUUUGUUUUGUUAUGUAUAGUUUGCUGGAGGGUUUGAUGCAGAGAGCAUGAAAGCAUUUGAGGAACUUAGAAGCAGAGCCAAAACUGAAAGUGGAGACAAUAAUAAUAAUAAUAAUAAUAAUAGCAAUGAAGAAGAAUCUGUAAACUGAGUUUUAUUACUUCUCUCUGUAUCAUUUGUAUCACAUACUUCAUUUAUAGUACAGUGAAAUUUAUAGAUUCUUGUAAAAAGAAAUACAACAUUUUUCUUUGACAAAAAAAAAAGAAAUACAAUUUUUUUGUGUGUAGGUUUGCAAUGAUCUUUAUUUACUAUAUAGUAGUAUUAGAUAAUGAAUUGGCAAUAAAUUUGUAAUCUCCCAAACUACUGAAGAAAAGAUAAAAUAAUUGUGGUUUGUCUUAAAAGUCACAUGUUUCAUAUCAUGUGCAGCCAUGCAAAGUAUCUCCCGAAUCUUCUUCACUCUUUAAUGUUUUACAGUAUUUUGUUUAUAAACUUUAAAUCAGUUUCAUUGAAUUUAUCACAAUAUUUUAGGUUAUUUUUUUCCAUGUUUUAGUAAAGUGCAAAAUAAAAAUAAUAAUGGUUCACUAGAUUUACAGCAUAUAACAACAAAAGGACUAGCUCUAUUUUUUCUUUUGUAAUUUUAUGCAAUCGUAUAAAAGAAAUAAUAUUCAUGUUUUUUAAGUUUUGGAAAUUAAGUAUUUCUGCCACCACCUAACAAACAGGGUCCAUUUCUUGGGUAUAGUACUUUUCACGUCCAAACAAGAUCUACAUUUAUUAUAAUUAUUGUAUUCGUAUAACAUUAUCAUCAUAAUAAUGAUUUAUAUCAUCCGACCCUCUUAUAAUAAAUGAAAUAAAUUCACGGAUCUAAGACUAAGAUUACAAUCACUAAUAGUCUAAUAUAACAUUUUUCGAUUACUCCAACAUCAAAAUCAACUCUUUUUUUUAAUAUUAUCAUACUCCUCUAUCAAGAACAAAAACUAAAAAAAAAAGUAUAACACAAACCGUAAACACGAUUACUAAUAUUUAAUGUUUAAAAUUAUCAAUCGAAUCAAUGAUUAAAAAAUCAAAUAAAGUUAAAAGUAAAAAGAACAAAGAAACAAAACAAAAACACAUUUAGACAGCUAGAGUUUUAUUACAAAAGCCAAAGCUUUAUUUUUGAUACCCCCCAAAAACAGAUAUCUUUCAGUCUUCACGUUGCAAUAUACUCACAUUUCGACCACAUACUGACAAAAACUCCGUAUAUAUAUACGUAUAAAAAUACGGUCUUCUUCUUCUUCUUCAUCUCUUACAAACACAGACACAAAAAUCACAAAACCCUUCUCACUCUCUCUCAAUGUUUCCUCUCAUCUUCUUCCUCUGUUCUUUCCUCUCUCUUUUCCUCCUCCCGCCGUCAAAUAUCGCCGCCGUGAGUAACCACAACAAAUACCUAAAGCUUCCACUACUACGCAAAUCUCCGUUUCCUUCUCCAACACAAGCUCUAGCUUUAGACACUCGCCGUCUCCAUUUUCUCUCUCUCCGUAGAAAACCAAUCCCAUUCGUCAAAUCUCCGGUGGUCUCCGGCGCAGCUUCCGGGUCGGGUCAAUACUUUGUGGAUCUUCGUAUCGGACAACCGCCUCAAUCGUUACUUCUGAUCGCCGACACAGGAAGCGAUCUCGUUUGGGUUAAAUGUUCAGCUUGCCGGAACUGUUCUCAUCAUUCUCCGGCCACCGUCUUCUUCCCUCGCCACUCCUCAACAUUCUCUCCCGCCCAUUGCUACGACCCGGUUUGUCGUUUAGUACCUAAACCGGAUCGAGCUCCGAUAUGUAACCAUACCCGGAUCCAUUCCACGUGUCAUUACGAGUAUGGUUACGCUGACGGUUCAUUAACUUCCGGUUUAUUCGCUAGAGAAACGACGUCGUUGAAAACAAGCUCUGGUAAAGAAGCGAGGUUAAAAAGCGUUGCUUUUGGAUGCGGGUUUCGGAUCUCGGGUCAAUCCGUAUCAGGUACGAGUUUCAAUGGAGCCAAUGGAGUAAUGGGCUUGGGCCGUGGGCCUAUUUCUUUUGCUUCUCAGUUGGGCCGUCGUUUUGGUAACAAGUUUUCUUAUUGCUUAAUGGAUUACACACUCUCUCCGCCGCCGACGAGUUAUCUCAUCAUCGGUAACGGCGGCGACGGCAUUUCAAAGCUUUUCUUCACUCCGUUGCUCACGAAUCCGUUAUCGCCAACUUUUUACUACGUUAAAUUAAAAUCUGUUUUCGUUAACGGUGCGAAAUUACGAAUCGAUCCUUCAAUUUGGGAAAUCGAUGAUUCAGGUAACGGCGGAACCGUCGUGGAUUCCGGCACAACCUUAGCGUUUUUAGCUGAACCGGCGUAUCGAUCGGUUAUCGCCGCCGUGAGACGACGGGUAAAGCUCCCUAUCGCUGAUGCGCUGACUCCGGGGUUUGAUUUAUGCGUUAACGUCUCCGGCGUCACGAAACCGGAAAAGAUAUUACCGAGGUUGAAAUUUGAAUUCUCCGGUGGUGCUGUGUUUGUUCCGCCGCCGAGGAAUUACUUUAUUGAGACGGAGGAGCAGAUUCAGUGUCUGGCGAUUCAAUCGGUGGAUCCGAAAGUUGGAUUUUCAGUGAUUGGGAAUUUGAUGCAACAAGGUUUCUUGUUUGAAUUCGAUAGAGAUAGAUCACGGUUAGGUUUUUCUCGUCGUGGUUGUGCUCUGCCGUGAAGGAUUUUACACUGGAAUAUUCCUUUUCGAUUCGCAUAAAGAUUCUUUUUUUUUUUGGAAGUACGAAACGUAGGUGACGGUUCACUGUUACCGAAAAUAGAAAUAAAAUAAUCUUUUUGGAGUUUGUAUAAUUUCGAUUAAAAAAAUAGAAAUACAUAUAUAAUACAUUAUAUAGAUUUUAUUCUAAUUUUUAUGUGAUGUUUUUGUUAAAUGCUUAGAUAUUACUUAUUUUUAUAAGGAUAAAAUUUGUAAUAUGAAUUGAAAUUAAUACUGAAAGUGCAAUGUAUAAAUAAUAAUAAAAAAAAUAAAAAGGACUUUUUAUUAAAAAUUAGAAGGAUAAUAUUUCAUUGUUACAAGAUUGUUUUUCUUUUUCCAUGUAAAACUCAAUACUAAUAUCUCUCUAGUGAUAAGCUAUAUAGAUCAAUACUAUGAGUAUGUAUUAAACUAUAGUUUAGGUGUCGAUUAAUUUGAUCACGACUUCACGAGUGUCAUUGUGUCAACUUUAAAUCUGAGUUUAUAUUAUAUAGGUUUUUGUUUACAUCUCUGUGACUCAAUGGAUCUCUUUACAAUUCUUGAAAAUGUAAACAAUCUAGUGAAAGUUAGUAAACAGUACACAUAUUGGUGAGCCGAAUAUGAUAUAAGCCUAAAAUGACUACGUAGCCCAAAAUAACUUAGUAGCCCAAAAUGCCUAUAAUCACUUUUAUCUAUUACAAAUCCACAAGGAACGUCAAGUCCAACUAAAAGCCUUAUUAAACAUGUUCAACUUAAUUCUCUCAACUUCUAAUUGGUUUAAAGUUGCAAGAGUGUGUUAUGAUCCUAUAUAAUUAGAAAUAUUAAAUAACCAAACGAAAAUAAUAAUUAAGCAACCUAAUCUUUCCAAAAGAAAUCUAUUACACAACCUUAAGCAAAAUAAUUAAGUAACUAAUCCCUUUUCCAUAAAAAACAUUAUAAAAAAAAAAUAUAUGAUUACUUGAUAAAACAUAAAAGAUAUAAAUUUGAUUUUUAAAAACAUAGAAAGAUAUAUCGCCAUAAAUGGUAAUAUUUUGUCAAUACUUUCUCCAUCACGUUGAAGUUUCAUUUUAUGUUAAAAUAUUCAUGAAUAAAACGUAUUCUUAUAAUAGAAAUUUUUUUAUUACAUGUUUAUGUUUUACACAAACCGAUUUUGGAUCGUAGAUCCAUAAUAAUUUUAUUUAAAUCACUUUAUCCUGCACAAAAUACAGGUUGUUAUUGUAGUUAUUCUUGUAUUCAAGAUAUCUUGCCUCUGUAUAAUAUUAAACUAAUUAAAUAACGGUUACUCAAAUGAUUUUGUGCCGAUAUUAGAGCAUUACUAUCCAUUGUUUAAGGUUGAUAUAGAGUGAUACACGCGUAGAUGAAUACAAGUUAUUCGAAAGCUAAAUGUUACAGAUAAAUUAUCUAUGUUGUUGUGAUAUAUGUAGCUCAAGUAACAUGUCUAUAUAAAAUUAUUUUUAUUUGUGAAAAACACUAUGUUAAUCAUAUAUAUGAAAGUUGGUCAACUCUCUCCCACAACUUGACACAUCAGCACAUGAGAGUUUGUCACCUAAACUUUUUAAAAUAAGUAAUACAUAAUUAAUAAUUAAUUCAACAUAUGAACCUAUCAUAAGUCAGAACUUCAAUCAUCAUUCUUUCUAAGUUUCUUAAUUCAAUAUAUCCUCUUUUAUUUUUUAGGCAUUUAGGUAGAGAAUAUGAUGAGUACAUUUUCCGGAUGUAAUCCUUUCUUUAAUGGAUUUCUGAGAAAUGUUUAUAUAUGAGACUCAGAAAUUUUUUUAGCUUGUAUGUUUCAUUAGUUACGUUAGAUUAAGUGAUUAUCUUAAAACGUAUUACACUACGUGAAACACAUGUGAAACGUGUUUUAUCUACAAACAAAUGUUUAAGUUUAUCUUUAUGAUAUAACUUAAACACAUCAUCUAGAGAGUUGGAACCGGUUUUAAAAUUAACACCAAUAAUGUUUUAGGCGAUGAACUAUCAUAAAGCUUCUAAACAAAUAACUUUAUGUUCUUUUUUUUUUUUCAUGUUUGUCCUCUCUUGCUGUUGCAAGGAAUUUUCAAUUAAAAUAAAAUCCAAUUUUUAUAUUACCUAUCAUUGCAUAUAGUAUUUUUGAUAUAUUGUUAAAACUGCUAACCAUCCAUAAGAAAAUAUAUAUAUGAAAAAAGAAAUAAAAAUAUGAAAAAAAUAAAUAGCAAACAUUUGAAAAACAAUAGUUAUUAUUAAAUACAAUUAUACAAAAUAACAAAAGAGGAGAACAAAACGAAUGUUAGAAACAAAAUCAAAUUUAUAAAAAUAUGCAAGAGUAAGCUAAAAUGAUGUUCUCCUAUUAUUUUUUACAACUCUCAAUUAAAAAAAGCUACUGGAAAAGCAGAUUUUAUUACAUCCAUUAUAUUAUUAAAAAAGAACAAAAUGAUAUUUUUUGCCAAAACAUUUGUGAAAAUAACAAACAAUUAUAAAAAAAUACAUAUAAAAAAUUGGGAAAAAAAUGGAAAAAAAUUAUGAAACUAGAUUUAUAUCUAAUCAAAAAUUCGUUAAAGUUAAACAAUUAGGAUUACAACAAAAGUAAAACAAAAAUUUGAUAUAGAAAUGAGAAUUUUUAUUCGACAAUAUUAACCCAUAUGACAGACAUAAGACACGAAUGAAAAAAAAAAAAUCACAAAAAUAAAUACUCAAUAUAUAUGUACACUUAACAAUACCAAACAAAAAGUAUAUAUAAUACACCUACAAAUUAGAUUCGGAAUAAAGCCAAGUGGUUCAACUAUGGAUUAAGUGUGGAGCGGUUCAAAUACUAACGAAAAUAUAUACAUAUUCAUAUAUAUGUAAUUUCUUUUGUUACUAUUUAAACAGUACCAAAGCAUGGGGUUUCAUCACCACCUAAAUUACCAACCAUUUAAAAAGUUAGAGUUUUCUAAACAAUAAUAAUAAAUAAUCAUUAUAUGUUAGACAUCAUUACAAUUUAAUCCUCAAAAUAUAAAGAAUGAGAACCAACAUCCAACAUACUCAAAGCUUCUACGUAGGAGUAAAAAUUAACAAACAAUAUAUAGUGGUUAAUAAAAAAUAUAUAGUUUUCAUCCUUCAUAAUAUAAUCUCUCUUAUAAAAAUAACAUUUUUAAAAAAGGAUGAUAAACUAAAUAUAUAAAAAAAAUUUAAGGAAAAUCAACAACAAAAUUCCGCGCGUACACUCAUCUAGUUAAGUUUAAUUAAUGAAUAUGAUAUGUAAAUUCUAAGACAUAAAAUGAAUGGAGUAAGCAUGGCGUCAUGAUGAUCAAAGCCCUAAAAGAGCACCCACCACUCGGGAUAAUGUUCACAAAUCGUAACCAAACUUUUUUCUAUUAAAGAAUUUAUAUUCACUUUAAAUAACCUUAAAAUAUUAAGAAAGUGCAAACACACUCAUAUAUGUGUGUAUAUUAUAUAUGUAAAAGUGUGACAUAAGAAGACUACAAAUGGCCACAAAUGUGAAAAAAGGAAACGCAAAGGGACCAGAGACAACCCAUGCGUGUGACCACAAAGUGAUGCUUACUUAUUUCUUAUAUGCUUACACAUAUUUGUUUAUUCAUAAUCCAGAAAAUCCAUAAUAUAUAUGCAUAAAGAUCACAUACACACACAUGGGCAAGCACUUCCAUAUACAAAGAAACUAAUUUAUACUACUAUAUUUCAUAUUUGCUUCCAUAAGACCUACCUCAUCACACGUCACCGUUUCAUAUUUGCAAGAUAGCCUCUUCAACCUUCCCAACAUUUCGUGCACUAAUAAUGUUCGAAUUAAACAAAAAAAAAAUUAUAAGAAUAAUGUUCGAAUUAUCGACAUUUUUUCGGAUGAGACGACUAAACAAAAGAAUGUGCAUCCUUUUUUCUUAUGGAUGAUGAAUGACAUAUUUAUAUGGUGUUUAAUACCGGGUGGUAAACUUCUAAUGAUUAAUUGAGUUAUGGUCGAACUGAGUUACCGAUUAAUUAAUAUUGUCUUUAUUUAUUUCAUUCACCAUUAUAUAUAAAAAUGAAUUUUAGUUAGUGACUGUGAAGUUAUGAAUUGCACCAUAACGUAGAACAAGGUAAAUUAAUCUCACGUUUAUAUGUUACAGUUUUCUAUGUUAAAAGGAGAAGACAUUUAUAUAAAUACAUUUUAGAACAAUUAAACCAGCAGAAUAUAAUGCAAGAAUCUUCAAUCAUACGGUAGUUUAUUGUAAGCUUCUUCUCACAUAACAAACUGAUUGAGCUAGCUAAUAUUAUUGCUAAUCGUUUGGUUUUGAUUGAUUUAAACAUGAUGAUUGAUGAUAAUGGAUUAAUAAUUCAUACAUUAGUUCACAGUUCAUGAUGUACAUAUGUGCCACUUCAUGGAGAUUGGGUUUUCAUACGCCAAUAAGAUAAGUAACUUCAGGCUUAUAUUUGUAGAACUUUGUGAAAAUGAUAUUUAGAUAUUUAUUAUAUAUAUAUUACAAAAUCUACGUUCACCUAAUUUUAUAAUGAGUAAGUAAUUAAAUAUUGAUAAUCUUAUAGCUAGUUACCAGAGUGAAAUAAGAGAAUCUGAUCUUUGUUUUAAUAUAUAUCCUAAAAAUCUGUCUGAACUCCGAUUUUUUUUAAAAAUAAAGAAUUAUAACAAAAUUAAAGAAUUAGAACAAAAAAGAAUUGUCGACACUUUGUUUUCUAUUAUACCGUUUUAGCUCUGCCUAAAUUACAUAAAUCUUGCCAAAAUUAAAUCUCUUAGCGAGAUUGUUAGGCUACACUUGUGGAUUCCUCUGGUUCAUGGAGUUCGACCUAAUUACUUCCAACCAUGGGAUACAAAUAUUAGCCGGUGGGAGACACACACACAAAAUUAAAUGAAACCUAAAAACGAAAGAACGCUUUUGUAAUAAAUCAUGAUCCAAUGCACACACUUAAAGACCUUUGCACACAUAUAUGUAUGUAUUUACACAUACACAUGUAAUGAUGUGGUCGUGAAGACCUUUGCACAAAUCUGUUGUGUGUAGUCACAUAUUCACGUGUAAAAGGACAACUUCUGGUUCUGUACAUAUAUAUAAUCGUCAUAAAUAGAUAUAAAUGGAUGACUACUGAUAGUUUUUUUUGUUGUUAAAGAAACUUUUUUUUUUGUUAAAGAAACCUAGUGAUAAUAACUCAGGGAUUCCCUAAUAACUCAACCAGUUAUUGCAGGUGUAAAGCGUCAAUAAAUAUUCGAAUUCGAGUUCAGUUUGUUACUACUUACUACGAUCAAUAUAGGGUGAUUGGUGCAUGACAUGUUAAUUUAGACAGAUUAAGGUGUCUAAAGGUCCCUUAAUCUCCUAAUUAAAAAAACGUAUUAUGAUAUAUGUUUUAAGUUCCAUUCAAACGGGUCGACAGUAUAUAUAAGCCUAGUUAAUGCUUAUGAAACGAGUUUAUAACCUAUGAAAUUCUUUAGUCGAUCUUAUGGGAUUCAAUAUAUCAAAACAGCCCCAAUUUUAAUUUUUCAUUGGUUAUUGCAAUUUGCAAGUAAUAUGAAGGAUCACAAGUUUUAUAAUCGUGAAUUUCAUUUAGUGAUUGAAAAGGAAGUAAAACUUACAUUUUUGUAAAAAAUUAAAUUUAGUUGGGGUACAAAUUACAAUGUUUUCAACUUAUAUAAGAGUACAUUUCACUUCGUAAUUGUUUCUCAAUAAUUUCUCCAUAUAAGUUUCAUUCAAUUUCGCUGAUUUAUUUUGUUAUACAAAUUUUUUUACCACACUAGUUUUUUUUUUUUUAGUUACAGCCAAAGUAACGAACUGAUUUGGUUUUAAAUGAGCCAUGCUUGUCAAGAUGAAAAUGAUUUUAGCUUUUUCAAAGGCCUUUUGAACAUGAACACUGACUUUAUUUUAAAGGUAAUGAUUAUAGGUUUCUUCCAACAAUGGUUUCCUAUCAUAUGAUUCUUCACCAUAAAAUUAUUACAUUUUAUGGACCAACAGUUAAGCACAUACUCGCUAAAGGGUAUGGUCUCGUGACAAUAUUAAUAUAAUAUAUUGAAAAAUGUAUUUUUGUUAUAUAGUAUUGGAUACCGUGAAACAUUAUCAGGUUAUGUCCAUAGUCAUUAGAAACUAGUAUUAUUAUUGCUGCUUUUGAUAUGAUGUUUAUCACUUUUUCAGUGUAUAAAAUAUGGCUUCAUGAUAUAUAUACCUUUCGUAUACUUGAUUUUGAUGCAAUGUUCAUUCUUUUCGUAAAUACUAGUAUUAAAAUUUAGUUAAGUCUUCUAGGUAAGUUAGUUAAAUCUAGUACGCUGUAUAGUUUAAAUAGUACUUCAAUCGAACAAUUUGUUUUAAUACAUCAUGUUUUUAUUGGUGUAUUAAACGGAGCAAUAUUCAUGCAUCUUGUAUUUUAAUUAAUUAAUACUAUUUUUAAAAAAUCAAUCAAAGCAUGAAUACUCAUGGAAAAAAAUCUAUGAUCAAGUCCUUAGUUGAGUGAUUUUCACAAUUUAAGGGUCGGAAAAAUAUUUUAUAACGUCUAUAUCAAUAUGUGAUCUGCUUUUAUACAAAAAAAAUAUAUAAUGGAUUAGUUAAAACAUGGUGGAGUCAAUUAUAUUAAAACAUUACUGAUAAAUAUGCUUUUUAACUCAAACAUAGCAAAUCAAAAAUAGUAAACCUUCACAUACAAAUAUUUAUACAUUUAUAAACGCAUGAAUAUACAUUUUUAUAAAUAUUAAAAGGUUUCUGAGUUUAAUUCAUGAUUAAUUAUAACUAAAGAUACUAAAAUUCAUAAGUAGAUUGAAGUAGCUCAAUUGAACAAAUCUCAGCAAAAUACAUAGUAUAUAUGAGAUGUAAAUUCGAUUGUUCAAAUGUCUUUUCAUUAGGACCUGUGUAAAAAGUUUUCGAGAGAAGAAUUAUAGCGAGGUUUGUUUCAAGUUUCAACAAGAAAAAACAGAAAAGAAUCAUGUAUAUAAAUCAAUCAAGUACUGAUAAUAUAGAAGUAUUAUUGGAAACAAACAAGAAGAGAAGUAAAUUCAAAGACAAAAUGAUUUAGAAUUCUUGGAGAAGGAAAAAGAAGAAGACAGCGUGGAGAAAGAGCCCAGAAUGUUGAACGUCGUGUGGGCUUCACUCUGCACCACCACCCCAAAACCCUAGUUCAUACCCUAUCCUAUAAUUUAUACUCAAAAUUUUCUCAUUUCUUCUAUUAUUUAUCACCAUUCAUAUGGAAGUAUAUAUUUAAUGAAGAAUUUUCGGAUCUAUAGAUCAUUAUAUGUAAAAUCAGUUUUUGAUAAAACAUGUGACAGUUUCACAAAAAUAGUUCAUCUUUCACAAAAAUAGUACUCGAAUCCGGUAGCAUUUUAGUAUCCUACUAUUUAGUUUUUCCACUCCUUUUCAUUAUAUAUAUAAUGAUAUAAGUCUUUUUACCUCUUUUUCAUAAGUCUUUUUAACUCUUUUUUUCUUUAAAAAUGAUUAUAUGCACAUCUACUUGAUAAACUGGCGGAUGGUAAACUUGAGUUAGGUUUGAGAAUUUUCACUAAUUAUUUUAGGAUUUGAAUCUUCUUUAGUAUGAGACAAUUAAGCUAACACACUCGAAGAUAUAUUCAGAUCAUAAUCAAAAUUUAUCCGUUGGAUAUGUAUGAAUAGAUUAAAUAAAAGAGAGAAUCUCUUCGGUGCACUUGAGACAAAUCUAUAACAUAGAAAAUCUUGAUUAGAUUAAAAACUAGAUUAAAGAAGGAAAGAAAAACAAGAAAGUGGGUUUGGCUAUACGAAACGAGUGGGAUUAUUAAUGAUUAAAAGUAAAAGUCUUUUUGGUCUCUGGUCGGUCGACAAUCCGUGUGUCCUGUGGUCAGUGUUUGUUUUUUAUUCUUUUGGUUAAUUUUCGAGUAUUAUUAUGCUUUCCACUGAAAAAACAAAAACAUUAAGCAGCCAAAUGAAAUUCUUUUAACGCGUUGUUUCAGAACCUGAUGAAAAAACAAUAAUCAUGACCUCUUUCUUCUUCCCCUUUAAAUGCAUGUCAAAUUGUGUAGGAGUGUUUGAUUAUAUAAAUUAAAUCUACUUUAGUCUUCUCUUCUUUGUAGAAUUGUAGAGUCGUGGUAUAAACUCGAAAAUUUCUUAUUAUACUUAUAGAAAUUAGGCAGACGAAAUGCUCUUGAUUUGCUUACAAUCUUAGAUUAGGUUUAACCCAAGAUAAAAAAAAACUUUGUUUUGAUGAAGAAAAACACCUUAGUUACAAUUUUGGACAUCAUCUUUUAUUUUCACAGUUAGCAUCUGAGACUUUUUUUUCUUUUCUUAAAUAGAGUUCUUAGACAAUAUCUUUUGGGUCCCUGAUCAUGUCAAAUGCCAAAAAAAUAAAUAAGUAUACAUGAUUGUGUCUAUUUGACCAUUCUAACUUCUAAAAGUUUCAAAUGAAAUAACUUUGUCAACUAUUAUUUUUGCCUAUGAAUUAGGUGCUGACCAGAAUCAUCUUGCUAAAAUCAUGAUUUUCUACUAUUGCAUAUUAUUCUUGAUCGCAUUUCACAGAUCUUAAUAUAUACGAAAAUAACUGUAUAUAUUAUCAACUGUUACGAUUAAUAUAUAACCAUGCAUAUCGAAAUAUUUUGAAUUAGUAUUUUUUUUGCUAAAUAAUAUUUUGAUAUAGUGGUGGCGUGGUAUUCCUCAUUUACAAAUCGCAUGAACUUUAUCCUAAAUACGAUUAACUUAAGUAGAAAAGGCACAAAAAUCUUCUAUUCAUUAACAUGAAAUCAAUUCUUAAGAACAUAAAUAAAUAAUAAUAUUCAUAGGAAGCCAAAUCCAUCAGAGAAAUCCACAAGAUGAUGACAGCUCCCCAUUUAGAAGUCGUAAAAGAAAAGCAAAGAAGAUGUGCAGCACUUGCAGUUUCAUUUGUUUUGUUAGAUAUACCAGAAAAAAAAAAAGAGUGGUCCCAUAAAAACCUGUAAUAUAUAACAUUUUAAUCAAAGAAAAUGAUAGAUUUUUUUAUUAAACAGGAAAAACCACUAACUUUUAAUUAAAAAAUUUGGAAUACAGCAAUACAUCAAAAAUCCAUUAACGGUACAUUAUAGUUGAAAAUAAAUUCAGGUUACAUAAUAUUUUUUGCGUAAUCACUAUACUAUUCUGCCAUUUUAUAUGGAACUAAGUUCAUACGUUAUUUCUCACAAUUCUCCUUGAUGUGAUCAAAGAUAAUGGCGGUCUGAUUGUAUAACCCGGUGAAAAAGGUUUUUUGGAAAGAAUUCUUUAAUAUUAAAAUAUCAAAUAAAUUUUGUUUAAAAAUUAAGGACACAUUAUAUAGCACUAUAUAUACACAUGUGUAUGCAUUAUCAAAUGGGAUGUUUGUGACCUUUUGUCUCUUCUUCUCUAAAAUUCUCUUUCUCCCAAAAACUAAAAAACCAAAAAAACCAAAAAAUGUACGCAAUGAAAGAAGAAGACUGUCUUCAAACAUUUCACAACUUACAAGACUAUCAAGACCAGUUUCAUCUUCAUCAUCAUCCACAAAUUCUCCCCUGGUCGUCGACAUCUUUACCUUCUUUUGACCCACUCCAUUUCCCAUCUAACCCGACCCGUUAUUCUGACCCGGUUCACUACUUCAACAGAAGAGCUUCUUCUUCCUCUUCUUCUUUUGACUAUAACGACGGUUUUGUCUCUCCUCCUCCUUCCAUGGAUCAUCCUCAGAACCAUCUAAGGAUUUUAUCCGAAGCUCUUGGACCCAUCAUGCGUCGUGGCUCGUCCUUUGGGUUCGAUGGUGAGAUCAUGGGAAAAUUGAGUGCACAAGAAGUCAUGGAUGCUAAGGCUUUAGCUGCUUCAAAGAGUCAUAGUGAAGCUGAGAGAAGAAGACGAGAGAGAAUCAACACUCAUCUUGCUAAGCUGCGUAGUAUAUUACCAAACACAACCAAAGUAAGUCGUUUAUAAAUAAACACUCUUCUCCUUUCAUUAUGGUUUGAUAUUUCAGAAACUAAUUCACUAUUUUGAAAACCCUAUGGAAAAAUAGUUUUAAUUAAUUAAUGAUCCUUCAAAAUUUCUCUUUAUUUAGUUAUUAUUGGUUAGAGUAGUAGUAAUUGUUGUUGUUUUUUAAUAAAGAGAGUAGUAGUAAUUGUUCUUUUUCUGAUAAAUAUAGUACUAAUUAUUCAGUUUCAAAAAUGAUAAGUACUAUAUUUUUCAAUAUUAUCAUUUUUAUCUAUCUCUGUUCAACUAUUAUCGUUUAGUAGUUGUAAAUUUUCAAAUUUAAAAUAAAUGUAUCAAAUCGAUAUUUUUGGUAAGUAAUUAUAGUCCACAGAUGGGGUAUUUUUGUACUAGUUAUUAUUAUUGAAGAAGAAGAAUAAGAAGAUUAAAUACUUAUGAUUCGUUUUGGUUUUGUAUAGACGGACAAAGCUUCUUUGCUAGCGGAAGUGAUCCAACACAUGAAGGAGCUAAAACGACAAACAUCACAGAUCACCGACACGUAUCAAGUCCCAACAGAGUGCGAUGAUCUGACCGUAGAUUCGUCUUACAACGACGAGGAAGGAAACUUGGUGAUAAGAGCAUCCUUUUGCUGCCAAGACAGGACUGACCUCAUGCAUGACGUCAUCAAUGCCUUAAAGUCUCUUCGUCUUCGAACUCUCAAAGCUGAGAUCGCAACCGUAGGUGGUAGAGUCAAGAACAUCUUGUUCUUGAGCCGAGAAUACGAUGAUGAAGAAGAUCAUGAUUCAUAUCGUAGAAACUUCGAUGGUGAUGACGUGGAGGAUUAUGAUGAAGAGAGGAUGAUGAAUAAUCGUGUGAGUUCGAUAGAAGAAGCGUUAAAGGCGGUUAUAGAGAAGUGUGUUCAUAAUAAUGAUGAAAGUAACGAUAACAAUAACUUGGAGAAAUCAUCUUCAGGGGGUAUUAAGAGGCAAAGGACUAGUAAGAUGGUGAAUCGAUGUUAUAAUUAGUUAAUUAAGUCAAGUCUUUAUUAACUAGGGUUAGUUAAUUAGACUUGCAAAAUGGGAUUUGAUUAUGGGUUGGUGAUAUUAGUAUUAUUUUCGGUGUUUUUAGUAGUUGGGAUUGGGUUUCUUCUUCUAUGUUUUUUUAAUCUAUGAAGAACCCUUUGUUUAGGGUUUUAUAGUGAUGAGUUUGGUUUAUAUAUGGUAGUUAAGACAUUUUAUCGUCUUAAUUAAUAUAGGAAAUGUAUAGAGCUUGGGUUUGUAUUAAUUUAUCAAGAAGUUUUAUUUAUCAUAUUCAUGAACUCUGCAACUAUUUAAUCUUUUGUUUAUAAGCAACAACACUACGUAGUAAUAGUAUAGAGUAUAGUUUUAUACUUGUCAAUUUAUUUUCUAUUGUGACUGAUAUAAGAGAAAUGACAUAAAGAAAUCUCUUACGCAUAUCCAUUGUUAUUUUUUCUGACAAACUACAACGAUUAUGUCGAAAUCAGUUUUUAAAUGUGCAUGGGAGAAAUAGUCUAUGUCGUACUUACUCUAUAAUUUAUUUCCUCAGUUUCUACAUAUUUUUUAAAACCACAAUUUUUUCUUCACAUCCGAUAUAUAAUUAAUGUGAUAUUUCUUAAAUUAGAUUGAUGUAGAGAGUUAUGUGACGGAAGAUUUGUGUAAGUUAUAUCAAGUGAAAUCGAGAGUAGUAGUAGAUCGAAUCUUUUUCGUGAGAAGUGAAAACUUAGAUCUUAGUUCUAUUUAUAGAAACUUAGUUUUGGGAUCUCUGAUAAUAUUGUCUCUUUCGCCGUUACUGACUUACGUUAUUUAUUACAAUAUUACAGAGACGGUUGAUACCACAAGCACAUUACGUCAUGAUCUCGUCAUUUUGUAUCUACUGGUUUUUCCUUUAGUCCAAAAUUCAACGUAGAACCAAAAAAAUGGGCUUAUUAAUUUGGUGUUUUCUUGAGUCUUAUUACUUAGACAGCUUUAGACAAAUUCUGUAUUCCGGUCCAACAGUCGGAAAUUUAAUCCACUGAGGAAAAAAUUUCAACAAAAAAUAUAUAAAUGGUAAAAUAUCGGCAAUAUUUAAUAAUGUAACAGGAAUAUGAAAGAAAAAAAAAUGACAAAAAAUAAAGAAAAGACUUUACAAUUAAGAAUUACGAGUUAAAAGGCCAAGUUUUCUAGACCCAAUUUUGGCCCAAGAGAUUCGAUAUGUGCUUUUGAAGAGUGUAUAGCCGGUGGGUGAUGAUAUCAUUUUGACCCAUGGGCUGAUGUUGAGGCCCAAUAAAGAAAAAAUAUAAAAAUGGCCUAUACAGGGAUCGAACCUGUGACCUUCGCGUUAUUAGCACGACGCUCUAACCAACUGAGCUAAUAGGCCAAUCUGAUUGUAAUUCUCGUUUUAGAUAUUAAUAGAUGUAAUAUAGACAUAGUAUAUGAACUUGUGAGGUUUAGAAAUAUAAGAUAAUCAAACAGAUUGACGAUAAUUGUCUUAUAACAGUUGACAUUAAGUAAGAAAUUUUCUUUUGAUGUCUAUAGAGUAUAAACAUAUCUAUUAUAUAAUACGUUGAGAAAAUAAAAUCAUGUGCUAUGUUACAGAUUAGAAGAACACAAAUAUGAAUGCACCUGGAGAGAAGUCCACCAAGUGUUGAAGUACAAGGAAGUGAACAUACAAGUAUGUGGACCAAUAAUGUUGAAUCUUUUUUAAACAUAUGUAUAAUAAUAAUAUCUGAAACAUUGCAUGAGACCGAAGACUACAUCUACAUGCAGACCAAAAACACUUUAGCUAGUUGGAAUUUGUGAUUAGUUGGAGACAGACACCAUAAGAAUUAUGAACAUAAUUCCGAACAAUGAACUUGGUUUAUAAACACAUGACCAUGCGAAACAAAUAUACUGGUGUGAAAAAUGAAAUAGCAGAAUCAUUUAUGGAACAUAACUUAAUUUUUUUCUUAUAAAGAUUUGCAUUAGCCUCCCGAAAUAAAUAACAGAAAUCGCGACUCCAAUAAAUUUUAUGACUAGUGUAAAAGUUAUGGAAUCAUUGAAUCUUGAAAGCUAUUGAGUUCUUGAAACAAGACUAAAAAUGGAAAUAAGAUAUAGUUCACAAAUGUUACGUGGGAAUGUUUAGUUCAAUUGGGUAAUGUAAAAUAAACCAUUAAAUCGGAAACUCCAUGAUGUGAACAUCAACAAAUAAAAUUUGGACCCAGAGGUGAGAAAGUGACAAGAGAAGAGGACGAUGGUUCCGGUCACGACGGCGACGGUGGUAGGACCGCCGUGUUGGCCCGCCGCACGUGAUCGAGCCUAUCCUCUUGUCUUUUUGACCUUUCAACUUCUUUUGUCUCUUCCUCAUCAAUAACUUUGUGCGUCAAGAUUUUCUUACUGCAGACAGAUUUUUUUCUCACUGCACAUAGAUGGAUGUACAAAACAACAAGAGAACCGAACUUAGAUUCUAUAGUGACAAUUGCAAUUAUAGUUAUGAUGUAUCGGGAUAAUACUUUCUACCAUACAGUUUCUUUAUUAUAGAUGAAAAGAUUUUAUCAGUCUAAUAUGUAUAGUCUAAGCUAUGUAACUUUAUCAUUCAUAUAACAAUAUAUGUAUAUAUAAUAUAUAUAUAUAUAAUAUAUAUAUAAUAUAUAUAUAUAUAUAUAUUCAUAUGUACAUGACAAAAUAAACUAUAGGUGUAGUGUAGAUGAGUACAUAAGACAUAUGGGCUACAUAGUUAAAGUUGGCCGACAACAGAAUUUCAAUGAGACAAUGAUGCAGAUUCAGUUUCUUCCCACCUGACAUUUCGACCCCAUUUUCUUCCUUUCUUUAUCGAUAAUUAAUUUAGUGUUCAAUUAUUAUUUUUCAUUUUUGAUACAAAGUGUUCAAAUUUUAAUAAACUUCAGCAAUUAAUUUAGUGUUAUAAUGAGGAUAUUUUGUGGUUGGAGCGGUUGAGAAGGUCUCUCAUUCAAAACCUUUGAUACAAUGAUACUACAAUCAAUAUACUUGUUAAUUUUAAAAAUAACUAUAAAUUUAUUUGCGAAAAAGAUUGGCAAAAAAAAAAUGAACAUUGACAGGCCUUUUAUAAUAUGGGCCCAUUAGCUGAGUGCAUGGUUUGUAAUCAGUUUUAGUCUUCAGAUGAUAUUGAGUAUUGACGCAAUUACAAAGAAGAAAAGGAAAUUAAAAUUCACUUUUAUUUAUUUAUAGUAGAAUAAAUUUGACGUGAUAUAGUACAUGUCUUUCCAUCAUAAAUUAAUUUGGCACCUAAUGGUCACGUCAGAGGGACCGAACAAUAAUUUUCGAUGAUAUUGUGUCCCUUGAUUUAUAUCUAUAGUCAUUGAAACUUGAUUAGUUUAAUUUGCUAAUAUAAUAAGAACUAAGCAAACAUACAUCAUCAUAGUUAUAUAUAGAGAAGUCUUAAUGUAAGUCCAAAUAACUAAAUUAAAGUAGAGUUAUCCCAUACGUGGAGCACCAACAUUACAUAUGAUUAGACAAGUAACCAAAGAUUAUUUAAUUUCAGUUUUUAAAUUAUCUUCAAAUCAAUUAGCUAAUGAUUUGAACUAGGAAGAGGUUAGUUGGUUUGACUAAAAAAUGGGAGUUUUUAGUUCAUGCAUGAAAAGCAGUGUUAGGCAAACUUGUACCUCGCAUAAUGAUUUUGUUUAUUUAAUAGUAAUUGGGAUAUAUAAUAUUUUUUCUGUUAAAAGCUUCGUAAUUGGGUUUUAUGAACCGAAACUUGCUAUUAACGGCGAUGUAUAUUCUAUGCAUCCGUGUAAUUUGUGAGAUAUAUUACCUUCUUCCACAAGAAAGAAAUUAUCUUUGGUUUCUUGUUAAGUUAAAACAUGUAUAAUUGUAUAAAGUUGGUUGAAACUUUAAGUAUUUAACACUAGUUAUUGUGUAUACUGACUUCUUCUUUUUUUUUUGGCAAAGUUACUGACUUCUUAAGAUGUAAAAAACUUUGCAAGUUUUUAGUCGAUUUGUUAGAUAUGUUACCAUUUUCUUAUAUCUUUCAACAAAUAAUAUAAAUGCGAUGUCACAUAUUAGCUAGAAAACAAAAUUUCAAAUAAAGCCAAUACUAAUCACAAGAACUGAUCUUGGUUAGAUUAUGUGUGAGAUAUAUAGUUGAAUUUACACAGAGAAUUCUAUGGAACUUAUAAGGCAAAAGCCAUUACAAAAUUCAUCCCAAACUUUUAUUCGUAUAUUUACAUAUAUAUCCUCCAAAAACUAAACAUAUAUCCAUAUCGAAAGUGUUCAACUUCCAUCCUCCUACGAUUGUCUAUCUUCUUGCAAAACUCAAACCAGUUUCCUCUUUCAUAUCCUCUUGCAAGCAAAACCCAAGCCGGUUUCCUCCUUCGUAUCUUCUUGCAAGUUGCAAUCAUCGCUUUGAUCCGGUUAAGCAUCAAAGUAUCAACACUUGAAUCAACCAAGAUCAAUCUUGCCAACAUAGGAGCAUAACAACACAUCGUUUGAUGAUGUAAAGCUUAGCUCUUUGCUCUCUAAGAACACCACCAAGUCCUCUGCUGCUCGAUACUCUUCUCUUCAAAACUCCCAUCUUCGAUAUAGAGAUUUUCUUUUAGGGUUUUUCUUUGAUUGUUUUGAGUUUUAGUUGCGAAGUAGAUAAGAGAAAGUGAUUAAUUGAGGUGAACAAAGAAAUGUCUUUUAUAGAAGAAGAAGAAGAGAGUUGUGUAGUAGGGACAAGAAGUCGAAGUCGCGCGUGGAAAUGCACCCCAACCCACCCGACACUGUCUCUCACCAUCCACUUGUGUUAAAUGUCACAUAUCAUUUUCAAUGUUUUGAGAUAGACGAUUAUAAUUGGGUGGUGUGUAUUCGUGUUACCGUCAUAUAUGUUAGGAUUUGAAUUGCGAAACUGAUUUAUAAAACAAAAUUGAAACAUAAGUAAAAACUAGUUAUGGUGAUUCACUUUUAAAUGUGAGAAUUACAUAAAGUUUUCGAAGUUCACAUUUUUUUUUUCAUUUUUCAGUGUAUAACAAACGAAUUGGGCUUCAAGAGUAAAUAAAUGAAAAGUUUAAGACAAACAAAUCUACAUGUUAAUCAACAAGAAAUCUAUCAUUCACACGGCCUCACCUUAUCACCAAAACAUUAUGCUCCACAACUCAUAAAUAUUAUUAGGAGAAAUCCGGUAAAAAUGCACGUGUGAUUUGUGAAAUAAAAAUCUCCAGGUUCAAGAUAUCAAAGUUCUUAUUCGCUGUCCACAAAAAGACAAUAUAAUGAAUUAUUGUACGGUUAUAUAAAUAUUUUUUCAAUGUUUGUGUUCCUAUAUAUUGCUAUUUUCUGUAGAGGAUAUGUAAAUAUUACAUAGUUAAGGAUUAUGUUGUAGUUACUUUUAGCCUAAUCUCCUUCUUGUAGCACACUAUAAAUACUUGUAAUCCUCUCUCAAUAAUAUUAAGCUUCCUAUUCUACAUGGCAUCAGAGCUUUGAAGGCAAUGAACACGGCCUCUUUGCUACAAGAAGGAGAUUAGGUUGAAAGUAAUUACAACAUAAUCUUUAACUAUCUAAUAUUUACAUAUUCAAUCUUUCAUUUUCCAUGUUUUGAUGAAUCUACAGUUUUUGGUGCAUGAAAAAAAUCAAAUUAUUGUAUGAUGAUUUUUCUGGAAUUAUAUUGCCCCAAAAAAAUAUUUCUUAAAUGUUAGUUUUUAUGCAGUAUUGUGAAUCAGAAUGAAUACUUAUCUACGUUUUGUUUGAACAUGAAUCUGAUGAAUGCGAAAUAUCUAUAAGCCAAUCGUUUUCAUUUUUAUAUGGUCACAAACCGUGAACAUACAUGCCCUCUUUGUUCCCUCUUUUAUUUCCCACCAAAUAUCUUUGAGACCUAUAAUUAAUUAUAAUAGAUUGCAAGAAUACAAAAUUUUAAAGCUCUUAAAUUAACAUAUCAUAUUUAAUUAUUUAUUCGAUUUCAGAUCAUGAAUCAAAACAUAGUUGAAUUAUAAACAAAAACAUUAGUAUUCAACUAAAACUGUGAUUAUUUGUACAUCUUCCAAUAUAUAAUUUUAUAUAAUGUAAGAAUAUGUAUUUUCGAUUAUUUUGAAAAUAUAGAUUCAAUAGAUUCAAAAUUUUGGUACCAUUAAUAUGAAAUAAUUGAGCCUUUCAUUUAAGGAUAUAGUUUAUGAACAAUAAUUUGUUUGUGUGUUGGAUCCACGUCAGUACAGUUAGACCUUCCAUUUGAGUUCAAAACAUAUGGUGCAUUGACGACGUGGCAAUGAUGGUUUUGUAAGAUGACAUAGUUCGUAGAUACUAACUAAAGCAAAAAGUGGAUGUAUUAUUAAUUGUAACUGUGUUUUUUCUUCCGUAUUUGGAUUCUAAACAUUUUUCACAUUAUCUCUUUGUUGUGAGUGUUUAUACUUUUAGACCAAAUUAGUAUAAUAGUUUUAUAUGAAGUUCAAUAUACAUUUGAAAGCCGUUUAAGCAAGUUUUUUCAUUUAUUGAUAUUUUCACCACCUUCAUAGGACUUGUUGACAAGCAAGUUCGCGUCUGCUAUUUUCAACACUUUCUCUGAAUUUAUGGAGUCCCGGACGGAAACAUUUAUAUAUAAAAAAAAAGUUUCAUAUAAGUUUAGUUGUAUUAACUCUUGUGUGUUUGUUUGUUACAUGGUGCUUUAAACGGGCUUUGUUUCGUACUUUGUAGACAAGAGUUUUCAGUUUGCUUCACUCCUUAUGGCCUCUAAUUCUGAAGCAUUUGCAUUGGUUGCCACAUCUAUGAUCUAUCUAUUGGUUUGUCAUCUAAAAAUCGAAAUGACAAAAUGUGGCAAAUAAUUGCGUCUGGCAGAUUGUUGAACACAGCCAUGUUUCUCAAAGAAUUCAAAUCCAGUAACACAUCUGGGCCUUGCUUUUUCCAGCCCAUGAGUUGCUUAAAUUUGGAAAUUAUCGUGGGGCGUAAAAUAAUACCGUGACAAGUUUAGAUUGGUUUAAACUUUAAACAUAGCAAAAUAUGGCCUACGUUGAUGGUCUAAGAAGGGUUGUAAUUCUUAUUUCAUCUAGUAACGGAUUGAUUACAAAUAAAAUGUUUAUAGCUUUAUAUGUUUGCUAUUCAUCACAAUAAUCACUUCACAUCACUUAUUAACGUUUCAAUUUUCUCUAAAUUAAAACUCACUCCCUUUAGCAUUUGCGGUAGUAUUUAAUGGUAGAUUUCAUAUGACCAAAAAAAAGAGAGUAACAUUAAAACUGCAAAAAGCACUUCACAGUUUUGGACUUUUUAGAUAUAAAGUAAAAUUUGGCCCACUAACUGACAUAGCUUAGCCCAUUUAGUCAGUCUAAAUUUUUUUGUAGCUUACAAAUUCUUAUAUGAUGAUGCUGGCUUGAAAAUAUCUUAUGGUGAUUAUGACUUGUAUGAUGAUUAUGGCUUGAAAAUAACUGACAAACUGUAAUUUUUUAUGUACAUAAUAUACACACACAAAAUAUACAUGUAUAAGAUAUACUGGUAUGUGUGUUUAUAUGGAAUUUUGUUGAGUGUAUAUCAGUUCAACGUAGGUGCCAAAAUAAUUAUUAUGGCUGAUUAAUUAAUGUUACGAAUUUCAGAGAUCAGAGAAGAACUUUUGCCAUUAGUCGUAUUUAAUACAUCAAGAAAUUGUAAUCUCCCUAAUACUCAGUACAAUAACUGAAAAAAAUUUCAGCUAUUUUUAUAUUGUUAUCUUGUGUUCAUUUUUUUCUUUAUAUCUACAAAUUUCUUCCCCACAUCUACAAAAACAGUUUUCAAACCAGCAGGACCAACUUCUUCAUCUACAUUCACAUCAUCCACAGCAGCAUAAGCUUCAGCCACAGACUCAUCAAUUUUCUUCUUCACAAGCUCAGUUUCAGCGACAGACUAAGCAACUUCCUUCUUCACAAGCUCAGUUUCAGCGACAGACUCAGCAACUUCCUUCUUCACAAGUUCAGUUUCAACGACAUACUCAGCAACUUUUUUCUUCACAGGCUCAGUUUCAGCACAGACUUAGACACUUUUAGAACAAUAUUCUGAAAUUUUGGCACAAAGUUUACAGAUGUGAACUUGGUAACAAUUCUUCUUCCAGACAAUGUUGGUUUCAUGAAUCCGGAGCAAGAAAGAGGUAAACCAAAAGAAGCCAUAAUGAAACGAAGAAGCAGUAGCAAGAGUAGAAAAGAAGCAGUAGCAAGAGUAGAGAAGAAGAUAAAAUGAUGAAUGAGAUAUAUAGUGGUGAACAUUAUAUCUCUAUCUCUACGAGAAACACAUAUAGAUAUCAAAACUGUAUCUAUAUUCUCUAAGCUACGAAAAGAAUUACCUGCAAAUUAGAGAAAAUCUCGAUCAGUCAACGGUUCUGUUGUGUUCAAUAUAUAUUUUUUUUUUUGAUGUAUACUAGAUAUUGACUGGUAACAUGAGAACUAAGAAGAUGAAUUUUUUUUAGGGAUAUAACAGGCAAUGAGUGCUAAGAAUCGAUAUGUUUUAUGUUUAGUCGAGACUUAAGUUUGAAAAAUACAGUAAGAAUAAAACUAUGGUAUUUUAGAAAAGACGAAUAUUCUAAAUUACUUGAAACUAGGUGGAAUUGAAUCUUUCAGAAUCUAGUUUUUGUGGGUAAACAAAUCUAAGUCAAUUCUUAAUUUUUAUUUAAGAUCUACUUUUUGUUUUUUAGUAUAUAAAGGAAUUUGUGAUUUAGGUCGGGAUAUGAGCCUUUGAGAGGCGAUUUUUAGGUCCAGCCGCCCAAAAUUUUUUCUUCUCUUAACUUUGUUGUUCCCUCUCCGAUUUACCGGUACCCUUGGCCGGAGUCGUGAGAUGUUGUUUCCGAUUGUCUUUUCUCUUUUUUUUUUCUUUGGUUCGAGCCUUCUCUAGCUUCUCUUAUGGCGGAUCUAAAGACGAGAUCUAGAUGGUUGUGCUUCGAUAGGGUUGUUUCCGUUUCUCGGUGACGAGAUCUAGAUGGUUGUGCUUCGAUAGGGUUGUUUCCGUUUCUCGGUGACGAGAUCUAGAUGGUUGUGCUCAAGCUGAAUCUCAAGGUUUUCCUCCUUGUUCCUAGCCUGUAUCAUUAUCUUCAUCUGCUUUAGUGUGGCCUGGCUCAAGUGGUUCAUGUUUCCUUGGUCAUGUUUAGUGCAUUGGUCGUAGACUUCUCUUAGUGAGCUAUUUUUAAAGGUUGUAUCUUUGUUGUUUGUUGCUUCCCUGUAUUUUAGGGCUAUGUCUCCGUUGUUUGAGCUAUGUUUCUCCUUUGUUUGGGCUAUAUCACCCUUGUUUGGACUAUGUCUCCUUUUUGGGUUUGUGACUACGAUACUAUCCCGUUUUUGAUAGCGGGUUUUAGUAUCCGUCUUUGUAUGAACUUGAAUGAAAUAAAAUGAGACUAUUGUGACAAAAAAAAAAAGUAUAUAAAAAAGAUCGCGAGUUUGUUUGUUUGCAUAGGUUAAUGAGCUUAUUACGACAUUAGAAAGAAUAGUAGUUUUUUUUUUUGUCAAACAGAAAGAAUAGUAGUUUAUACAUAAUAACACUAUAUAUGUAGCUCUGUAACAUAGAUUAGUCUGGUUUUGUUUCGCGCGAUAUUGUAGUAGAAUUGUAAACACUACGUUUUGGGUCUGGUGGCAUUGAAAAUCACAACAAGGCUAAGGUCGCGUGGUCAACAGUCUGCUUACCAAAAGCUGAGGGAGGGCUAGGUCUCAGGUGGUUUUCAGAAUGGAAUACAACCCUCAAUCUGAAGCUUGUUUGGCGGUUAUUCUCCGGAGGAGGAUCUUUAUGGGUGGAUUGGCAUAGGUAUCACCAUCUUCAGGGUCUUGGGGAUGCCUCUGUUUCUAAAUUCUGGACCUCUCAAGAAUUGGUCUCUGAUUCCUGGAAUUGGAAAUGUCUCUUGCGGCUGAGACCUUUAGCAGAGCGUUUCCUUCGAUGUAACAUAGGCAAUGGCCUUACUGCUAGGUUCUGGACAGACAAUUGGACGCCAUUUGGCCCCUUACUUAUUCACAUUGGUGCUGCACGUCCUAAUAGGUUGAGGAUUCCUAUUGAAGCUUCUGUUGCAGACGCUACUCAGGGCAUUAGUUGGGGUCUUCCUGUCUCGCCUCUUUGUUGCUUGUGUUCUUGUGCACCCGAGACCAGGGAUCACUUACUGUUGGGUUGCAGUUUCAGCAAAGCCCUCUGGAGUUCGGUUCAGUCCAGACUUAGGUUGCACUCACUUAUUUUUCUGAAUUGGGCUGAACUUCUUUUAUGGAUUCGUCGUUCUAGCACUUCUGCUCCCUCCACACUGAGGAAGCUUGUUGCUCAUUCCGUCGUCUACGCAACUUGGAAGCAGAGAAAUAACAUGCUACAUAACUCGCAUCACUUGGAUCCUGCUUCAGUCUUCAAGAUCAUCGAUAGGAAAAUCAUUAACUCCAUCAACGCAAGAAGACACAAAAAGAAGUUCCGUAAUCUUAUGAGUUUUUGGCUCAUAUAAUGUUUCUUUCUGAAGAUUGUUUACUUCUUUGUUUUUUAUCUUAAUUUUUGCCAAAGAACUAAUUAUUUAGGAGUUCUCAUUGUAAUUCCUAACUCUUUUAUUUUAUAUAAUAUUUACCGACUUAGCAAAAAAAAAAAACACUACGUUUUGAGCUAAAAGAAAGUCAAUGGCGUAACACACAGUGUCUUAAACAUGUCGGUCCAUGUGUACCGUGUUACGUACAUAAUAUUCAUAUACAUUUGGUAAAUAUGUAUGUCCAUAAUAUAUAUAAAGCUCGUUGACUUUGGUUGACCUUGAACUUUAACUUUAUUAUGUGGUGACGCCACUGCGUUCGUCAUUAUUGAUCGAUUAGAACAUAAAUAACUAAAAGAAAAGCUACAUGUUAGUGGGAGUACAGGUUUUUGAUAAGCUCGUUUGCAACAGAAAAACUUCCCUAAAGAAAUAUCUAAAAUAAACUAAUAAUAUGCAAAUUGCUAAGUUAAUCAAAUUCCAACAUAUCAGAAAGAAAGAGUUUGCUAAGUUAUAGUAAUACUAAUAGCUCUAGUUGGCUGUAUUUCGUUCAUGGGUGUGUCAUGUCGGCAACGUGAAUCUACUUAUUACUAUAGUUAAAUACAGUAUUAAUUAAAUUUUUGUUUAUAUAGUAUAUUAUUCAUUUCCAAAUCUUAUUCCAGGGAAAUUAGAUCUUUUAACCGUGAUACAUAUUUUGCUAACAAAACAAUCAUAUAAGUUUAGUGGUUAAUAUACACUAAACUUGAUUUAAAACAUGACGACAUAUACGGAAAAAUAGGUUAAAGAAAAUGAAAAUUUUAUUUUAUAAUAAAUAGUCAAAAUAUGGAAAAUAUAAAUGAUAGAGCAAACUAACAUUUUAUUUAAUGUGUUUAAGAAAAGACACUUUUGAAGGUGUAUACCAUUUUGAAAAGAAAAUUUUAGACCACAUGAGUAAAUAUGAUUCAAAAUAAAAAUAAAACCAUAUUUGUUUUUAACAACAUACAUUAUGUGAAUUCUUAUCUAGAUGGUAACACAAUGAGAAGAGAUUUUGCUCUACAUCUUAUAUGAUAUGAGCUUUUUUUAAUCAACCACACAUUUAUUAAAAGAUAAAUCCAUGAUUGGUUGUCCAAUUGAGAGGAAAAUAAUUUAUAAAAGUAAUUUAAAAAAAUAAUAAACGAGAAAAAUGAAUUUUCCUCAGAAAUUAUAUAAAAGAAAAAAAAGAAAAAAAUUGAGGAAAAGGAAAAUAAAACAUGGAGCAUUCCAAAUUUAUCUAGUAGAUUGGAGAAUACUGGCUAGGCGAAUGCAAUAUCCAGACAUAUUAUGAUAUGAAAAUUGGAUAUGAAAUGAGUUUUAAAUUUUUUCAUUCUACAUAUUAUCAAAUAAUAUUUCAAAAGUAUCAUGUAAAUUUAUUUAAAACUUAUGACACUAAUCUACACAAAAAUGAAUAAAUGUUAAAGAAAUGGAAACUUCAUUAAUUUAUUACAAUAAUGUGGCUCCUUUGAUAUCAGCUUCUCAACCAAUGGCAAUAUAAAUGUAUGGGGGUAGUUGGUCCCAUGGCUUCGACCAAUUAUCUUCUUCGUUUCUCUCUUUUCUUUUUGUUUAAAACUACUAAGUCAACAAAAGCAACUUGGAGUGAUAACACGAGGAACUAGUCGUUAAUUAAUUGAUUAAAGUUAAAGUAUAACGAGCUUUUUAACUGAAUUGGUCAUUAAUAAAUUGAUUACGUUAUUCUUUAAUUACUGUUUUUUUCCAUAACUUUAUUUGAUGACUUGGAAUGAGGUGUAUGACUGCAUCUGGUCCACAAGUGGCCCAUGAUCUGAUAUAGAAUCUUGCAAAAUCCGUGACUUGAUUGAUAAUUUUAGUUAUUAUAUUCAGCGUUAAGUAUUACCUAAUUAGCUGAUGUUGUAUUCAGACAAAUAGCGAAAAUUAGACAGUUUUCAUGUUUCUCUCGUAUUGAUUAACUCAAUUUUAUGUAUAUUUGAUAAUAUAGGUUUUUCUAUUUAUCUGUUGUGCAACUUUAACGGCAAUGUAUAUUAUGUCAAUAGGAAAUACACGAAAACACACAGACACACAUAUACAUAUAUAGAUGAUAAAAGAAUCAUACCUCUUUUUUUUCUGUUAAAUAAAAUGUCAUACUUUUACACGAUUUGAAACCUGACAUUAGAUGGUAAUUAUGAUUCAAAAUAUUAAAUUUAGCAGUCGUACGAAAUCUUAUUUUUCGAGUGAAUCCUUACAUGUGAACACAGAACAGCCUGAAGCGACAAGUUGCCUAAUCAAAAACACAUAAAUGGGAAUAAAAUGCGUGACAUGGACAUGGCACAACGUUUCCAUUUCUCCAAAAAAUACUAUAGCUUCCCCAUUUAAAAAAAAUAACUAGAUUUUAACCCGGGUAUACCGCGGGACGAUUUAUUUUUAAAAGUAAUAUAUAUUAAAAUUUGCAAAUUUUAUUUUUACAAAAUAUUUAUAUUUUACAGUUUAUUAUUGUUAUUAAGUAACGCUAUACCACGAAUUCCUGAGACAAUUGUUAAAAAAACUGAAGUUUUGACCCCUAUUAAAAUAGCAUAUUAAUAAUAUUUUAAAAUUUUAUAAAUAUUGAUUUAAAUACAUCCACCAUAUAACUCAAUUCCAAAAUAAAACACGUUCUGUAGUUUCUUUACCCGUCCCAUGAUUUUUUUAAGUAGUAAUUUUUAAAAUUUAAGAAUUAUUUUUUAUAUAUAAAAGUUUUGCAAAUUGUAUCAUUCUCUAAUACAUUUAUAUUUUAUAGUUAUAUUUUAUAUAUAGUAACAUUAUACAUACCACAUAACAUUUUUGGUUUUAUAUAAUUUUUUCUAAAUUAGGAUAAUUUGAUAUGUUUAAUAUUAGUGGUCUUAAAAAAUAAUAAAUUAAAGAUUUAACCCAUAUUGAAACAGUGGAUUAAUUAUAUUUUAUUUUUUUAUUAAUGUUGAUUCAAAAACCCGUCCCUCCAAAUCCGUCUUGCCAAAAAGUCAAUAUAAUCUAAACAUUUUACCUAAUAACAUAGGAGUGCACCAUAUUUAUUUAAUAGGGGAAUGUAUCAUAUGACCCGAAUGCAUUUUUAUCCAAAUCCACCAAAAAAGUCUUGCAAAAAUACUAUAGAUAUAAGAAACGAUAGUCGGUUUUGAUAGAUAUAAGAUUAGCAAAUAUAUUAGUUAGCUUAAAUUAGUUAAAGAAUACAAAUUAAAAAGGUAUAUUACACUUUAUUCAAAUAUAGUAUCAAAACUUAUAUAACACAGAGAUUUGAUAAUUUUUUAAUUGUUGAAUACUUUUUUUUUGUGCUAAUUUUUAUGUGAUUAAGAUUUAAUUGAUUUCAUAUAUAAAAUAUUAAAUUGACUUAUUUGUUUAUAAUUUGGUAACAGAUAGAUAUUUGAAUAUUCAGUAUAUUUUGCUUCAGUUUAGGAAAUCUUUGAUGACCCGUCUUUAGAUCCAAUAAGCCCUAUAAUUUAGAGAUUAAUCUGCAGUAUACCGCAUGUAGGCUUAUAUUUUAGUUAAACUAAAAACUUUUAUUGUAAAGAUGAUUUAAAAAUAUAUGAUAUUAUUUUAUUUGAUUUUAAAUGUAUAGUAAACUGUGAAUUGUAUAUGUUUUGUUGAUAUUAUAUUUUAGAUCGAUAUUAAUACAAGAUGGUAUACUACAUGUGAAACUCUAAAAUUAACAAUCAAAAUACAAGUGUAUAAUUUUAAACACUAAACAAUAUAAAUAAUAUCAACAAAACAUAUACAACUCGCAGUUUACUAUACAUUUAAAAUCAAAUAAAUAAUAUCAUAUAUUUAUAAUAUUAUCAUACAUUUAAAAUCAAAUAAAAUAAUAUCAUAUACCUUCUCACAUACACACCUAUCAAAAACUUAAAACCUUUCAAAACCUCUUGGUAUAUUCAAAUUAGGAUUCUUCAUUCAUGGAAUCAUUAUUCCAAGGGUUUUGAGAUGUCUUAUGAAAUGAUUUUGGCAGAAGAGGAUGUAAAAAAUUUCGAAUAAAAAGUAGUCAGCAAAACAUAUGUUUUUUUUGAAAAUUUUUAGAUAAUUAAAUCAGAGAAUAGGGUUGGACAUAUGAGUAACCCAUUCGAGUUCGGAUAGAACCCGUUCGGGUUUGAGAUUAAUGGUAUAUGAUUUACUACCCAAUAGAAUAAUUCUAAACAUAUGUUUUGUUGAUAUUAUCUAUAUUGUUUAGUGUUUAACAUUAUACACUUGUAGUUUGAUUGUUAAUUUAAGAGUUUCACAUGUAGUAUACCAUCUUGUAUUAAUAUCGAUCUAAACCCGUCAAUUCUAGGAUUUUCCAGCUUGUAUUAAAAAUUGAAUCACAUCUAAUAUGUUAUUAACUAUUGUAGUAUAUAAGAUUAUAAAUUUUCAAUAUAAUAUGUAUGAAAUUGAAUAUAAAUAUUUCAAAUUUAUGUCCCGUUACUCAGUAGAAAGUUUUCUUAAAUCUAUUUUUCACCCGUUAUAAUAUUAUUUCAUGUAUUGAACAAUUUAUAUUCGUUUUUAAAAAUUCAAAUUAUGGCAUAUGCGGAAAAACUCUAAUUAUUUUUUUAUAAUGAUGAUAUUAUUAUUCCGUAAAAAUAGAAUCAUAUAAAGAUGAGAAGUGAACUAUAAUAAUUAAUAAAAAAUUAAGAUGAUAAUUUAGAUACCAAAUAUAAUUUGUUGAUUUUAAUUAGAUACUUUUUUGGAAAUUAAUAAUGUAUUUCGUUUUUCUAAUUAAAUUAAAUUAAUUAAAAUUUAGAUAUCAAACCUUAUAUGUUGAUUUUGAUUGGCUAUUAUUUUUGGAAAUUAAUAAUGUAUUUCGUUUUUUAAUUAAUUUAAUUAAUUAAAUUAGUAUUUGAUUUUUAAUCCUUAAAGAGAUAAAUUAAUUUACUCUUUAAAAUUUUAUUUUUAAUGGCAUAUCUAUGUAAUUAUUUAUAAAAAUUAAGAUUAUAUUUAAAAUGUAUUUCCCAAAUAAUAUAGUAGAAUAAUAAUUAAAAACAAAAUUAAUUGGCUCGUGAACAAAACGAUAAGAACUAACAAGAAAACAUUAUUAUUGUUGACAAAUAAAAACAAGAAACAUUAUUAUAUUAACACCUAACGCUGCCACACCUUUUAUAAGAUAUAUGUUUUCUUUUACAACUAUCUGAAUCUCUAAUGUAAUAAAAAUAUAUGAAUGAUGUCACUGGUAGUUUGGUACCAAUUCCAUGCACAACAUUGUAAACCAUUUUCAUUUUAGUGUUCUUUGAACCUUUUGUAAAUAAAAACAAUAUUAAACCAAUGGAACUCAUUGUAUAGUUAAUUAAUAACUUUCGAAUCCCAAAAAAGUUCCGAGUAACGUUUUUUCUCGUCUCUAUAUUGGAUUGUAAAAACAAGUAAAAUAUAUAUCCGGGUCAGUUCUUCUAAUCAAAAUAAUCAAGAAUGCUCAUUAGAUUAGACUGGAAUAUUUUGAUAAACAUCCAUAAUUAGAAUUGAAAGUUCUUAAUUUAAAAAACAACAACUAAAUAUAAAGUAACGAAUACAGGAAAAUUAUAUUUUCUAUUCUAAUAAUAUAUGUUGAUUGUUGCAUAUUGUCUUUUUGGUUUAAUAAUAAUCGUUAUCUAAAGUCUAGAAAAAAGUUAAUUAUAGGUAUAUCUUUUUAGUAAUUCUUAUCCAAAUACUUCAAAGACACGACAUACAAAGGACAAUAAAAAGUACAUAUCUAUAACGAGAUCGACCUUUGAUCUUAGAAAAAUAAAAUGAGUUAAGAAUACGAAUAUACGAUCGAUCCCCAAGAAAAUAGAUGUGUAAUUUGGGAGUAUAUAUUACUUUUUUUUUUUCGUCAGGAGUAUAUAUUACAUUUUUACAUUUAUCUAUAAAAGAAAUAUAUUGUGUUAAUACACUAAAAUCAGAUAAAGAAUUAAAUAAUUUAGCAUAUUACGCGGCUGCCGACAAUAGAUGUGGAGUAUGACUUCACGUAGACAUAUUAAGUCAUCUAGUGUCAAUAUAUUAAAUUGAUUGUUGGGUUAUAAUUGAUCUUAAAGUGAGCAAGUUUUAUGUCGCACCAAAAAUAAACUAUUGAGUGUUAUGUGCCUAACACUUAAGAAGUUAAGAUAAUCUCGAGCGCUUUUAAUUUAAUCUAAACAAGACUAAUGUGACUAAUGUGCAUAAACAUUCGCUUUGCUUUUUUUCAUCACAUCCUAUCGAUGGCAUAAUCAUAUUCUCUGGAUACGUUAUACUUUUGGGUCGGCAAUUCACGUUUUUAUUCGGCUAUAUAUUGAGUUUUCUUAUUUAAAAGAAUAUUGAAAUAAUACAUCUAAUCAAAAAAUAACAAAACAUGUAGCAUAGUGAUUUAUACUAAUAUUUUUGUUGUGGAUCAUCAUCAUUCAGACUAAAUAUGUAUUGUUAUUGAUUGAAAAAAAGAUAGUUAAGUUUCUCUAAACUUGUGAAACUAAUCUAUUUGAAAAGCAUCUUGAGAUUUCAUAAAUAUUUUUAAUGAAAUAUAAAUUCGGGGUCUAUUGGGAUAGUUGGAUUGGUUUAAUCUGGUUAACUCCGGUUAACUAGAUUUCGGUUUAAGUUUAAUGUGCAUAGUAUAUAAACUUGAGAAUGUAAUUAAUUCAGUUUAAAAAAGCUUUGUAACAACAUUUUAUCAGAUAAUAAAGUUCGUUAUAUCUCUCUUCUUCUUCUCCGAUUAGACUUCCGAUCAUCGGAUUUAUUAUGGUAUCAGAGCCAUACAAUCGAUUCUCCCGCUUACUCUUUCGUCGGAGAUGAGCUUGUUCUUAGCUUCAUUGUGUUUUUCGAUUUGCGAUCUUUCACUUUGAAGAUUUGCAAUUUCGUUCUUUGGUUCGCCGGAAUCUUGCUUUUCCGUUCUGUUUUCUUUUUAUUUCUCUUCAUUUUGACCUCCUGUGUUGACGAUUCUAGCUUUCUUUACACAAAUUCAUCACACAUUUCUUUGUAAUUUCUUGUUCUUACACUGAGAAUGGGAUAUUAUGCUCCUCCAUCGAUUCCAGUGACUCGACCUCCGAUUUCGUCGAAUGGUACUGAACAACCUCGUUUUCAAACGGAUCAGUAUGAUAAUCCGUAUUAUCUUCAUAGUGCAGAUCACGCAGGACUUGUUCUUGUGUCAGAUCGAUUAACAUCUUCUUCAGAUUUUUUGUCAUGGCGUCGAUCCAUUCUAAUGGCAUUGAAUGUUCGUAACAAGUUGGGAUUCAUCAACGGUAUGAUUUCUAAACCUCCAAUUGAUCAUAGAGAUUUUGGAGCUUGGUCAAGAUGUAAUGAUAUGGUCUCGACAUGGUUGAUGAAUUCUGUGGAUAAAAAGAUUGGUCAGAGUUUGCUUUUCAUAACAACUACAGAGGGAAUUUGGAAUAAUUUGCUCUCAAGGUUUAAACAGGAUGAUGCUCCUAGGAUUUUUGAUAUUGAACAAAAGCUUAGUAAGCUAGAGCAAGGUGCUAUGGAUGUUUGCACAUACUAUACAGCUUUACUUACUUUAUGGGAAGAAUACAAGAAUUAUGUGGAUCUUCCUGUGUGUACUUGUGGUCACUGUGAAUGUGAUGCUGCUAUGAAAUGGGAAAAGAUGCAACAGCGUAGUAGGGUUACUAAAUUUCUUAUGGAAUUGAAUGAGGGAUAUGAUCAAACAAGACGACAUAUUCUCAUGUUGAAGCCUAUUCCUACAAUAGAAGAAGCUUUCAAUAUUGUAACUCAAGAUGAGAGACAGAAGUGUGUUAAGCCAUCUACUAGAGUUGAAAAUGUCGCUUUUCAGAGUGUUGCUCCUCCCAUGAUGAAUGAAAUGGAUAAUGCUUAUGUUGCAGCUUACAACACUGCUAGACCAGUACAGAAACCUGUAUGUACUAACUGUGGGAAUGUUGGACAUACAAUUCAGAAAUGUUACAAGAUUAUUGGUUAUCCACCAGGACAUAAGAUAGGUGCAUCAGGAUAUAACUACAGGGGAACUACUCAAAUGCAACCAAGAAUGCAGAUGCAACCUCGUAUGCAACCUCAAACUCAGAUGCAAAUGAUGCCUUAUGCAAAUUCUAUGCAGAAAGCUAAUGCAGUAGCUCAUGUGUAUAGUGAGAAUAGUUCCUAUCCUCCUGAUGGUUAUAUGCCUAUGCCUAUGGUUAAUCCUUAUGGAUCUUUGGCUCCUUAGUAUAUGUCGCAUGUUAUUCAAGGUGGUAACAGUGUUAAUCUUCAAGCGUUUACUCCUCAACAAAUUGAAAAAUGGUUUCUCAGUUUCAAGCUCAAGCACAAGUUCAAGAGUCUAUAGCUGCUUCAAGCACACUUACGGCUACUGUUUCUGAACAUGGUUUAAUGGCUAUUACUUCAACUUCUGGUACUGAAAUUCUAUUCCCUUCUACUAGCCUGAAAUAUGAGAAUAGUAAUCUCACUUUCCAAAAUCAUACACUUUCUUCCUUACAAAAGCUUUUACCACAUGAUGCUUGGAUUUUAGAUAGUGGAGCUUCUAGUCAUGUGUGUUCAGAUUUAGCUUUGAUUAGAGAACUAAAGCAUGUGUCUGGUGUCACUGUCACUUUACCAAAUGGUACUAGGGUUCUGAUUACUCAUACAGGCACAGUUCAUAUUUCACAGAAACUCAUUUUGCAUAAUGUUUUGCAUGUUCCUGAUUUUAAAUUCAACUUGAUUAGUAUUAGUUGUCUAAUUAAGACUUUAGCUUGUUCUGCUAAUUUUUAUGUUGAUUGUUGUUUGAUUCAAGAACUUUCUCAGGGCUUGAUGAUUGGGAAGGGUAGAGUAUUUCACAACUUAUACAUUCUUGAGACUGCGAAUCAAUUUCUUUCUGCAUCAUCUCCUGCAUCAUCUUAUGCAUCAUCACCUGCAACUUGUUCAUUUUCUGGAUCUGUCAUUGAUGGAAAUGUGUGGCAUCAGCGUCUAGGACAUCCGUCAUCUCUAGUUUUACAAAAACUUGUUAGUGUCAUUCCUGCUUUACAAUCUUUUACUUCUUCAUGUUCGAUUUGUCCCUUAGCUAAGCAAAGACGAUUAGCAUAUAUUUCUCAUAACAAUUUAGCUUUGACACUUUUGAUCUUGUUCAUUUGGAUAUAUGGGGUCCGUUUAGUGUUGAAUAUGUUGAGGGUUUUAGAUAUUUUCUUACUUUGGUAGAUGAUUGUACAAGAACCACAUGGAUCUAUAUGUUGAGAAAUAAAAAGGAUGUUACUACUAUUUUUCCUGUCUUUGUUAAGCUUGUUGAAACUCAGUUUAAAACAAAAAUAAAAGGGAUUCGUUCUGAUAAUGCUCCUGAGCUUGCAUUCACUGAAUUGGUUAAAGAAAAAGGAAUGAUGCAUUAUUUUUCAUGUGCUUAUACUCCACAACAAAACUCAGUUGUUGAGAGAAAGCAUCAACAUCUUUUAAAUGUGGCUAGGUCAUUAUUGUUUCAAUCUAAUGUUCCAUUGCAAUAUUGGAGUGAUUGCAUACUUACUGCUGUGUUUCUCAUUUAACCGUUUACCAUCACUAUUAUUGAAAAAUAAAUCUCCUUUUGAACUUUUACUUCAAAAAUUACCUGAUUACUCUUUGUUGAAAAUUUUUGGUUGUUUGUGUUAUGCUUCUACUAAUCAAAAUGAAAGAACCAAGUUUUCACUUAGGGCUAGAGCAUGUGUUUUCUUAGGUUAUCCAACUGGUUUUAAAGGAUAUAAGGUGCUAGAUUUGGAAUCUCAUUCAGUUUUUAUAUCUCGUAAUGUUGUGUUUCAUGAACAGACUUUUCCUUUUAAAACUAGUGAGUUACUUUGUAAGGCUGUUGACAUGUUUCCAAAUACUAUAUUGCCUUUGCCUGCCCCAUUGCAUUAUGUAGAAACAACACCUUUGAUAGAUGAGGACUCUCUGGUAGACACUACUGCAUCAUCAUCAUCAUCAUCAUCAUCAUCUGCAUUAGAUCCUAGUAUCAUACCAUCUAAUACUAGUACAGAGAUGCAUGAUUCAGACCCUAGUUCUGUUCUCAUUACUAGGCCUAAACGCACUACUAGAGCUCCUAACUAUCUAUCUGAGUAUCAUUGUUCUCUUGUUCCUUCUAUAUCUACCUUACCACCUACAGAAAGCACAUCACAAACACUUCCUCCAUCACCUAAAAAGACUUCACCACAUCCCAUUUCCACUACUAUAUCAUAUGAUCGAUAUACUCCAUUGUUUCAAUCGUAUAUCUUUGCCUAUAAUCUUGAAACAGAACCAAAAACAUUUCGCCAGGCCAUGAAAUCAGAGAAGUGGACAAAGGCAGCUAAUGAAGAGCUACAUGCUCUUGAACUCAACAAGACAUGGACUGUGGAAACUUUACCUAAAGAUAAGAAUGUUGUUGGAUGUAAAUGGGUUUUCACAAUCAAAUACAAUGCUAAUGGAACAGUGGAAAGAUAUAAGGCACGUUUAGUGGCACAGGGCUUCACUCAACAAGAAGGUAUCAAUUUUCUUGAUACUUUUUCUCCUGUUGCUAAACUGACAAGUGUGAAGUUUAUGCUUGGUAUUGCUGCCAUCAAAGGAUGGAGUCUAACACAGAUGGAUGUGUCAAAUGCUUUUCUCCAUGGUGAAUUGGAUGAAGAAAUUUUUAUGAGCUUGCCUCAAGGCUAUACUCCACCUCAGGGAACUACUUUACCUCCUAAUCCGGUUUGUCGACUUCUUAAAUCUCUUUAUGGAUUGAAACAGGCUUCACGCCAAUAGUAUAAGAGAUUGUCUUCAGUCCUAUUAGGUGCAAACUAUAUUCAGUCUCAUGUUGACAAUACUCUCUUUGUUAGAGUAACUGCGAACUCCUUUGUUGCUGUGUUAGUAUAUGUGGAUGAUUUGAUGAUUGCCAGCAACAAUGAUGAGGCAGUGCAACAAUUGAAGGCUUUGUUGAGAUUUGAAUUCAAGAUUAAGGACUUAGGUCCAACUCGUUUCUUUCUCGGGUUAGAGAUAUCAAGGUCUUCAAAAGGAUUUUCAGUCUGUCAAAGAAAGUAUGCUCAGAAUUUGUUGACAGAUUCAGGUCUUCUGGACUGCAAACCGAGCUCUAUACCUAUGGAUCCUACAAUACACUUUACAAAGGACAUGGGAGUACCAUUACAGAAUCCAACGUCUUAUCGUGAUCUUAUUGGCAGAUUACUUUACUUGACGAUUACAAGACCUGACAUUACUUUUGCGGUUCAUCAACUCAGCCAGUUUAUAUCUGCACCAUCUGAUGUUCAUUUACAAGCUGCACAUAAGGUUCUCAGGUAUAUUAAAUCAAACCCUGGUCAAGGCUUAAUGUACUCUACAGACUCUGAAUUGUGUCUCAAUGCUUUCUCGGAUGCGGAUUGGGCUACGUGUAAGGAUACCAGAAGGUCAGUUUCAAGUUAUUGUGUUUAUAUUGGCACUUCAUUGGUAUCUUGGAAGUCAAAGAAACAGUCUGUGGCUAGUAGGAGUAGCACAAAAUCUGAAUACAGGAGUAUGGCACAGGCCACUUGCGAGAUUAUAUGGUUGCAACAACUCUUGAAGGAUCUUCAUGUUUCAGUCACUAGUACAACUAAACUCUUUUGUGAUAAUAAGUCUGCACUUCAUAUUUCUAUGAAUCUUGUGUUCCAUGAAAGGACCAAGCACAUAGAAAUAGAUUGUCACACUGUGCGGGAUCAGAUAAAGGCUGGAAACUUGAAGGCUUUGCACGUUCCAACUGAAAACCAACACGCUGAUAUCUUGACCAAGGCUCUUUAUCCUGGACCCUUCCAUUACUUACUGAAGUUAAUGUCACUGUCAAGUCUAUACCUUCCAAAUCAUGUUGCUAAGGUAAAGACUUGAGGAGGGGAUAUUGGGAUAGUUGGACUGGUUUAAUCUAGUUAACUCCGGUUAACUAGAUUUCGGUUUAAGUUUAAUGUACAUAGUAUAUAAACUUGAGAAUGUAAUUAAUUCAUUUUAAAAAAGCUUUGUAACAACAUUUUAUCAGAUAAUAAAGUUCGUUAUAUCUCUCUUCUUCUUCUCCGAUUAGACUUCCGAUCAUCGGAUUUAUUAGGGUUCCCAGUUUUGCAAAAUUAUAUUUCAGACAUACAUUUAUUUUAAAAAAUUGCAAAAUAUUAAAUAGUUCGAGAUGGUUCUUGAAGACUGUCAUGCAGUUUUUUUUUUUUUUUUUUUUACUUAACUUACCUUCAUUACUUUCAAAAACUUGGAUAGAACUACACAGUGUCUCUCGCAAAAGUAACACGUAAAAAAACAACAAACAAAGAAAAAAACAAUCAAAAGAACACAUUAGGCAUUGAACAUGCCGAACCAAGUAGCGAGGAAGGAAGUCCCUUGAUGUCCUAAUCUCUGAGCUCUAGACAAAGGAUCCAAGUGACAGCGGAUUAAAGCUUUUAUCUCCAAAAUAAUUCCAGCAGCAGGUCUUGAGGUAGCAUUGUUAAGUCGAGAGUUUCGUUCUUUCCAUAGAGUGUACACCGAAGCUUGAUGAGCAAUCCUAAGAAUCAUAGUCACAUUCUUGUCAUGACAAGGAUUCUUAAGCCAUCUAACUCCAUCCCCAAACAAAUGAGGAGGAGAAACAUGGGCCCGAGAGGUGAAAUAAUUCCAAACUUCUCUUGCAAACUCACAAUAAAAAGAAAAAUGUUGUCUUGUUUCAUCUUGCGAAUUGCAAAGAAGGCAUACAUAUGGAACACUAAGUCUCCAACUGAUAAGCUUGUCUCUAGUAUGCAGCAUGUGCCUCAUAUUCACCCAAGAAAUGAAUGCAUGUUUGGGAACCCUUCCUUUAAACCAAAUAGCCUUGGACCAAUCCACUCUAUCCUCUAAAAAAUUUAAUUGAAACCAUGUCGCAGCUGAGGGAAACACACAUGAAGCUCAAUUCCUCUAACCUUCCACAAGAAGAGAUCAUCUUCUGCAUCAUCUUGGAGGUUCACCACAUUAGAAACCGGAAGACAGUUAUUGAGCAUUUGAAUAAUUGGGUUCCUGUUCCUACUUCUAUUAAUCCACCAUUCCCCAUCAUCUUGGAAGUUUUUUCUUUUUCUUAAUUUGUCUUCAGAUUAUGUUUCUGUUUGUACUCUUAAAUGGAACCCAAUUUCAUAAGGAAACAUGACAUUUCUCAUUUCUUUGUUUCAUAGAGUUAUAUUCCGUAUUUGUUAAAACUAGUUUCAAAAAGUGAUAUUAGCUGUUGAUAAAGAAAAAAAAAAGGUGAUAAUAGCUUGUUUUAUAAAAGUACACUUGAGAAAAAGAAAAACAAAGGGUGGUACUGUUGAGUGUUGACAUAUGAUCGUUAUUACCUGUAAUAGUAUUAAAAUUAUUGUUAUAUGGGAUUUGGCCAUACAAGCGACCGACCUAAAUAUGGAAAGUAAGAUGACGUAAGCAAAGCUUAUAAAAUUUAUUUUCCACCUAUCACGUUUUUGAUCGAUGAUACGAAGCUAUACUAAGUUUUUAUUUUUUUAAUUCAUCAGUAAACUUUUACUAAAUAAGGUAAUACUAUACAAAAAAAGUUAAAAGUAACUUUUUAAAUAAAUUUUUUGAUAUUCGCUUUUAUAAUCGGUAACUAUUAAAGCGGUAUAUUUUAUAUUAAAAGUUUAAAAAAUCCUGAUAAGUAGAAAAUAAAAUAAAAAAUUAAAGAAAAUUUGGGGAAAAAAAAUCAUAUUAAUAUAUACUUCAUAUUUUUAUUCACUAAGAAAAUAUCUUUUUCAUAUUUUCUCUAAUUUAUUUUCUGAAAUUUAUAAAAUAAAAUUAUUGUAGUAAAACAAUUUAUAAUAAAAAUUAAAUUUUAUUUUUAAACAGUGAUUGCUAUUUUAUUUACAAAUUAAUAGUUAAUUCAACUCUAAAGCUAAAAUUAGAAUAUUGUUUUUGGUUAUGAAAUCAUGUGUAUGAAAGUAACAACAUUUUAUUUUUUGAGUAUUAAAUCGCACAAUGUAAUUAUAUAUAUUUUUUUCAAUCAAAAAUAAUGUUAUUAAACAUCCAAAUAAAAAAGGGGGAUUUUUUUGGCUUUUUCCUUAUAUUUUGCUCUAAAAAUAGAGAUGAAUAGUGUUGCCUAAAAUUUAAAAAUAUGUUUUAAUACUAAAAUUUGUGCUCAUUAUAAUAUAUGUAAUUGUUAUAUACAUAAAUUUAUGUGUGUGUAUAUAUAUAUAUAUAUAUAUAGACCAAAAAGUUGAAUAUAGACGAUGAUUUAUUUUCUCUUUAUGUAAGCACGGAUCUGAUGCUAUGUAUACAAAAAAGAUAGAAUAACGAAAAGGUAUGAUCUCGAGCAUUGAACCAUUGCAUUUGUAUAUACAUGAAGGAUUCAUGCUUGCAAAAAGAUCCUCACGGAACAAAAUUCAUUGAGAUUUGGAGAAAAACAUAUUAAUUUUUAGUGAGAAAGGAAUAAUAUCGUAACAGUUAAUUUGCAUCUCUAUAGUAAGAAAAUAGAUCGAAUUCCUUCAGCUCCAACUUUUUUAUUUAUUUUCUUUUACAACAAUUUGCUAAUCAUUAUAUUAUUUUAAUCACCAUGCUUGUAAAUUAACAAAUUGUAUAUAACAUCAGGGGGAAUGAACUUAACUAAAUAAUAUUCUAUUUAUCAUGUGAAUCUCUUUUAUAUCUUAUGGUCCACUUGCCGACCCCACUUCCCCAUGCAGCCCACAACAUAUUCAUAUCACCUUUUUUCGUCGUGAAUAUCAUAAAAAAAGUUUGGUGAUAAUCGGUAUCAAACAGUGAAAGGAAUGGUAUAUAUAGAGCAAUCAUAAAAUAAAAAAUAAAAAUUAAAGAAACUUAAGAUCAAACAAGUUUUGCUGAUUAAUAAGUAAUAACCAUAAAAUAUAAAAUAAAUUUAGAUUCAUGAUUUUUUGGGGGUACUUUUAGCUAUAGUUUUAAUAUAUGCAUCGUAGAUAUAUAUUGAUUGAGUUAAUUUAUUUUAUAUAUAAUUAUUUGUUUAAUUGAAACAUAAACCUAAUAUGGAAAUGCGAAUUUAACCUUCUUUUUUUAAGUAUUCUUUAUCUUUUGCAUGAACCUUCCUUUGUAUUUAAGUUGACCCACAACAUAUACACACACAAACCCAUAUUAUUCCGAUACACCUACCCAUAUAUUAUACCAUCUCCUUAAAACACACUACAAGUAAUAAAAAGGACGGAACUUUUUUUUUUAAUAACAUACAUGCACACUUGAUGUUUCUUAUUUCCCCUUGUCUCUCUAUAUAUACACACAUUCAUUCACACACGUUCACACAUAUACAUUCACAUUACUAAUCUCUCAAGAUUUCACAAUUUUCUUGUGAUUUUCUCUCAGUUUCUUAUUUCGUUUCAUAACAUGGAUGCCAUGAGUAGCGUAGACGAGAGCUCUACAACUACAGAUUCCAUUCCGGCGAGAAAGUCAUCGUCUCCGGCGAGUUUACUAUAUAGAAUGGGAAGCGGAACAAGCGUGGUACUUGAUUCAGAGAACGGUGUCGAAGUCGAAGUCGAAGCCGAAUCAAGAAAGCUUCCUUCUUCAAGAUUCAAAGGUGUUGUUCCUCAACCAAAUGGAAGAUGGGGAGCUCAGAUUUACGAGAAACAUCAACGCGUGUGGCUUGGUACUUUCAACGAGGAAGACGAAGCAGCUCGUGCUUACGACGUCGCGGCUCACCGUUUCCGUGGCCGCGAUGCCGUUACUAAUUUCAAAGACACGACGUUCGAAGAAGAGGUUGAGUUCUUAAACGCGCAUUCGAAAUCAGAGAUCGUAGAUAUGUUGAGAAAACACACUUACAAAGAAGAGUUAGACCAAAGGAAACGUAACCGUGACGGUAACGGAAAAGAGACGACGGCGUUUGCUUUGGCUUCGAUGGUGGUUAUGACGGGGUUUAAAACGGCGGAGUUACUGUUUGAGAAAACGGUAACGCCAAGUGACGUCGGGAAACUAAACCGUUUAGUUAUACCAAAACACCAAGCGGAGAAACAUUUUCCGUUACCGUUAGGUAAUAAUAACGUCUCCGUUAAAGGUAUGCUGUUGAAUUUCGAAGACGUUAACGGGAAAGUGUGGAGGUUCCGUUACUCUUAUUGGAAUAGUAGUCAAAGUUAUGUGUUGACCAAAGGUUGGAGUAGAUUCGUUAAAGAGAAGAGACUUUGUGCUGGUGAUUUGAUCAGUUUUAAAAGAUCCAACGAUCAAGAUCAAAAAUUCUUUAUCGGGUGGAAAUCGAAAUCCGGGUUGGAUCUAGAGACGGGUCGGGUUAUGAGAUUGUUUGGGGUUGAUAUUUCUUUAAACGCCGUCGUUGUAGUGAAGGAAACAACGGAGGUGUUAAUGUCGUCGUUAAGGUGUAAGAAGCAACGAGUUUUGUAAUAACAAUUUAACAACUUGGGAAAGAAAAAAAAGCUUUUUGAUUUUAAUUUCUCUUCAACGUUAAUCUUGCUGAGAUUAUUUAUGUUGUAAGUUGUAACAAGUGGAAAAAAUUAAUUAGGUGUCAAACAAAUCUUGUGUUAAUAUUCUUUGUAUAAUGUAUGGAUGAGCUGUUAUUAAUUACUGUAAUUUUUAAUUGGGCAUACUCGUAAUUUUAAUUGGGCAUUAUUGGUUUAUAGGCCCAUUAAAGUGUUUCUUCCUCAUAUUCUUUCUUUGGUCCGUUGCUUAUUCACCAGGGAAAAAUGUUGCAGAAGAUUUCUCAGUCUAUUUCUUUAUGUAACGGCGAUCAAUUUAAGCCGUUAAUAUACCUCGCCGGAGCUCCGACGAACUUCAUCUCUUCCCCUCUCUCAGGUUGUUCUCUACUUUACUUUGUUUGUUUCGUCAAAUUUCAUGUUUAGGUUUCGAGAAAAUUGAUUGUGAAGGAAUUAGUAGAACUUUGAUUGGACUAAUGAUUUUUUUUUGGAAUCUAUAUAUGAAUCAUGAUUUUGGGUUUAUGUAUUGUUUUGUUUCAGGCAAGAAGAAAUCAUCUUCUCUGAGAAUUAAAAGGUAUAUAAAAACAAAACUAAAUUUACAUGAAGGUGAAAUUUUAGUAUAUAGUUUUAAUUUGAUACAUUUUAUUUUGUAGGAUACAACAACUUCAAAGUACAUUAGAAGAUAGAAUAAAUCCACCACUAGUAUGUGGAACAGUAUCGCCACGUCUUAGUGUUCCUGAUCAUAUACUAAAGCCUCUAUAUGUUGAGUCUAGCAAAGUUCCAGAGAUAUCAAGUGAAUUACAGAUUCCUGACUCUAUAGGCAUUGUGAAAAUGAAGAAAGCGUGUGAGCUCGCGGCUCGUGUAUUAGACUAUGCAGGAACUUUGGUUAGAGUAAGUUACUUUUGAAUCUCUAACUAUGAUUGAAUCUCUUUGUUGUAAUGGUUUUUUUGUUUUGUUGUUGCAGCCGUUUGUUACUACAGAUGAAAUUGAUAAAGCAGUGCAUCAGAUGGUUAUUGAGUUUGGUGCAUAUCCUUCACCUCUUGGAUAUGGUGGAUUUCCUAAAAGUGUUUGUACAUCGGUUAAUGAAUGUAUGUUUCACGGGAUUCCCGAUUCUCGUCCGCUACAGGUUUGGAGUAGCAUGAGAAUUCUCUUUUGUAGUAUAUAUGUAACACCCCGGUUUCAGGAAUAUGGUGGUGCAUGCGGAGAGGUUUAUAAUAUAUCACUAAUCAACAACUUCUUGUAUUCAGAAUGGAGAUAUUAUAAACAUCGAUGUUGCGGUUUACUUGGAUGUAAGUAUAUAUUUCUAAGUUUCUUUUGCUAAUCUCAUUCAGAUUUUAAACUUCGGAUGGAUGUAACACUUUGAAAUAGGGGUAUCAUGGAGAUACGUCAAAGACUUUCUUAUGUGGAGACGUCAAUGGAAGCCUUAAACAACUUGUCAAGGUUAAUGUGUGCCUCUAACUUUCGAACUCUUAGGAACCUGUUAGAAGCUGACAUAGUUAUUGUUCUUAAAGGUCACAGAAGAAUGCUUGGAGAAAGGUAUAUCGGUUUGUAAAGAUGGAGCAAGCUUCAAACAAAUCGGGAAGAUAAUCAGGUACUAAAUAGUACUAAUCCCAUUCAAGGGAAGUUAGGAGGAUCAGUUUUAAUUAUAUUUUCAACAGUGAGCAUGCUGCAAAGUAUGGCUAUAAUAUGGAGCGAUUCAUCGGUCAUGGUGUAGGAACGGUAUUACACUCGGAACCUCUUAUAUAUCUUCAUAGUAACUGUAAGUAAUAUAAACUGGCUUUUUCUGUAAGAACUCUUCAUUAUGAUGGAGUUUUUUUUGCUGAAAAACUCUGUUUUGUGCAGAUGAUUAUGAACUUGAAUAUAUGAUUGAAGGUCAAACUUUUACGCUCGGUUAGUAUUAUCUAUAUAGAAUUUGAUGAAUGCAUUUAUACUCUUUUAUGAAGUGUUUGGUUCCUAUUUUUUUUCACAGAACCAAUUCUCACCAUUGGAACAACAGAGUUUGUAACAUGGCCUGACAAAUGGACAAUUGUGACCGCAGAUGGUGGUCCGGCCGCACAGUUUGAGCAUACAAUUCUUAUUACCACCACUGGUGCAGAAAUUCUCACCAUAUCAUCAUGAAUUAUAUCACAAUGUUACGGAAUUUACAUUAUGAACCAUCCAUUUCUGUUGUAAAUAAAAGAAAAUAUAAACUGUUUGGUUCUGAGCAGUUGAUGUUGGUGUCGUUGGCAAUUCCUAUCCCUGUGAUAAAUGGUGGAUUGGUUCUGAGCAAAAAUUAAUCACAUGAACAUUCAAAUUAAAUCUAAAAUCGAGUGAUUAAAUAUAAAAAUUAAUCAUAUGAAACAAAUUAAUUUUAUGGCACCUCUAAAAUGAUUUUGGAUAAAGAUCACUUGUGAUGUGAAAACAAAUUAAUUACUGGAUACAAAGUUAACUCGGCACCAAAAAAUCAUUGCAAUGUGAUGAGUAGAUUCAUUCAAUAAUAUCGGAACUAACUUUAACGUUGUGAUGUGAAAACAAAUUUAAUUUGGCCUUUCUAACGAUCAAAAGACUGGAUACCGAGUAAUGUUUGUUUUGUUACAUACUUUUGUAUAGGACUCGACAUAAAACUAGAAAUCCGAAACCGAACCAAAUAGUUAUAAAACCCGAACUGAUAAUGAAUAUAUACCAUGCACAGCUGAAUCUUAUAGUAAAUAUAUACAUUUUGAUUAGUUUAUUAUGAGUUUUUAGUUUUUUACUAUGUUUCAAAACAUAGUGGUUGUGGUUUGUUUAAUAAUGGUUUUAGAAGAAUCUUACUUUAUUAUCUAAAAAGUAAAUAACAAUUUAGUGUACCAUUAACAUUUUAAUAAGAUGACAUUAACAAACUUAAUUAAUAUCAGAAUCUUCUAUAUCUUAUGUCAGGGUAAAGUAAUUUUUUUUCUUUAAAUGGUAGAAAAUCAGGAUAAAAGUAUAUGUCCCAUAGUUUUUAAAAAUAAUGAUAUGUAUAACUAAAUAUAUUGAAACUUAAUUAUGUUAUCUUUUUUUUUUGUUAAAACUAGAUUAAGAUUAAAUGAAAGAAGACACAUGUCACAUCUUAGAGCAUGUGUUUAGAAGAAAUCUCUCUAUUAUCUAAAUAAAUAGUAAUCCAUAAUUUUUAACAUUUAAAAGAAAAUGACAUUUACAAAAUUUUAAUUAAUACUAGAAUCUUCUAUACCUUCUAAUAGUUAAAGUAAUUUUGUUUUUCAUUAAAUGAUUAAAACAAACUAGGAGAAAAGUAUCUUUACUUGUUAUAAAGAAUUAUGCCACAAUCCACAUGUUAGUUUCUCAUAUCAUGAAAUCUUGUAUAUAUUUUCAAGUUUCCAGUCUUCCAGGCUUUAAUUUGUUUUGAAGUUGUUUAUCUGACAAGCGAUAACAACACAGAGAGAACUCGUCGAUAAAUUUCAAAGAUGGAGAAAACUGAGUGGUCUGAUUUACCUGAAGAACUCCUAGAUUUAAUUGCAAACCGUUAUUCCUCCAACAUUGACGUCCUACGUAUCCGUAGCACCUGUAAAUCCUGGCGUUCUGCGGUUGCGAUGUCUAAAGAGCGUCUUCAGUUUCGCUUUGAACGCUACCUUCCUACCUCCAACAAGAAGAUAAAGGCUCAUCUCUCUCCCACCACUUUCUUCCGUAUAACUCUCCCUUCUUCAUGUCCUAACAAAGGAUGGCUAGUAAGAACUAGACAAGCCUCCAAAAUGUAUCGUAAGAUUACUCUCUUGUGUCCUCUCUCUGGCGAGCGCAUCACCCGUUCCCACCAAACCCUAGACCUUUUGAAGGUUGGCGUUUCAGAGAUUCGCCAAUCUUACGAGAUUCAAAUAUUCGAUGGAUUGAAGGACGAAAAGAUACCAUUAGAUUCAGAGAUAUUCUCUAAUUAUAUCAAGAAUAGUGACAAAAUACCAUCAGGUGUAUUCUUUAGAGUUGCUUUCCUAGACAAUAUUUUUUUUGCAGUCAAUUACCACGAUAAUAAAAUAUGGUGUUGUAAGACUAGAGAAGGAAGUAGAAGUUGGACAAAAAUUAAAAACCAAGUCGAAGAUUUCUCGGACAUUAUACUUCACAUGGGACGUAUCUAUGCCGUGGACUUAAAAGGAGCAAUUUGGUGGAUUAGUUUAUCACAGCUUACCAUUGUUCAACAGACAUCUUCAACUCCGUUGGACUACUAUAAAUAUGAUAGUUGCCAAGACACGAGGCUCGUGGAAUAUUGUGGAGAUCUAUGCAUUGUUCAUGAACUUAGCAUAACUCGAAAUCAUAUCCAGAGGACCGUUGGUUUUAAGGUUUAUAAGAUGGACGAGGAUUUGGCAAAAUGGGUUGAGGUUAGUUGCUUGGGAGACAACACACUCAUUGUUGCUUGCAACAGUUGUUUUACUGUCGUAGCCUCUGAGUACCAUGGAUGUUUGAAGAAUUCUAUUUACUUCUCUUAUUAUGAUGUCAAGAAGGCCGAAAAUAUAAAAGUGUUCAAGCUUGAUGAUGGUAGUAUCACCCAGAGGACUGAUAUUUCUUCUCAGAGUUGUUUUCACAUGUUCUCUCUUCCCUUCCUCAACUAUUAAUUACCUUUAAUUUAAAAAUCUUGAUUAUUAAAUUAAAGAUUUUUUUAUUUAAUUUAAGUAUAUUUCAAAUAUGAAUUUAAUGCAUAUCUAUGUUACUUAUAAUUAACAGAAAAUUUAAUUAAAUAAAAACUAAUUAAAUUAAUAAAUUAAAUUUAAAAUCAUGAAAAUAAUAUUGUAUUUUUUUUCUCAGGAAUAAUACUAUAAUUUAACUUUUCACAAAAUGUUUUUUGAAACGAUCAUAUUUCGAAAUUUUGAAUGUGGCAAUGAGGUUUAGAAUGGAAGGAAAAGUAAAUACAUGGUAAAGUAAAUAACAAUGUAUGUGACUGCAUUUAUAAAAUUAUAAUCUAAUAAAUAAAAUUUAAAGUGAAACAUUAGUUCCUAAGAAUAAUACAUUAGAGAGAGUUGUUAUUUAUUAUUAAAUUUUUACAUAAAUGAAAAUAAAAUAAUACCAAACUCAACAAUGUAAUUAUCCAUCUUCUAAAAACGUAAAUAAUCAAGAAUCAUUAUUUUCAUGAGUUAUAAAACAAAAUAUAUAAAAAGUGAUAUGUAAGCUGUUAGAAAAAAUUCUAUGUAAUUUAUGUAGCACAACUCUUUAACAUGAUCAAAAUGAAGAAAAAGUUUGAGAUUUCAUUACUUGAAUCAAAUGUUGAAUCAAAGGCUGACUUUAAACAAAAUAUUUAAAAUAAGUUUUUUUUUCUUUGAGAAAAAUGAUAGUCCUUAUGUUUUUAGUUGAUAUUUGAGGAUAAAUUUUUGGAAAUUCACAUGUCUUUGGAAUCAUAAGAUCAUAUGAGCAAGAAGAUUUAGAUUUCGAACCUAUUUGAAAUUCCCUUUUCAAAAGUAUGAUUUGAUAUGCAGCGGUGAGAAAAAAACAGAGAAGUAGAACAAAAAUUCUAUUUUGUUGAAUAGAUUUGAGAAUUAAUUAUAACGGUUAAUUUACUUAGAGAAUUAGGAAUUCAAAAGAAAUUGAGCCGUUUUAUAAUUAAGUUACCACUAAAAUCCGCUAAUUUAUUUACAAAUAUUUGCUUAAACACACACAUGCACUCGAGGAAACGAUAAUCGUUUUGAAAUCAAAUGACGGGGUUUCAGCCAAUAAUACGGCGUCGUUUAACCGUGGAGAGGUUGGAAAUUUACACGGUGGCGUUUAAAGGUUAGUUAACUUAGCGAAAGGAUUUAGACGAUGUUGUUUUGGAGUUUUAUAUGUUUUCUUGUGUGUCAAGCUUUGCUCCUUAAGUCUGAUUUUUUUGUCUAAAUUCUCGAGUUUCUUCCAUACCUGUAAAAAUUCGUUAUCCUAAUAGUUUUAGAAGAACUAAAUUUCUACAGCUUUUCUUUGUGAAUUCGAUUUAGUACAGAAUAACAUACAUAAUAAAAGAUUUUAAAAAAAAAUCAUGUCUAACAGAGAGGCAUGUUCAUCUAACAAAACUAUUAUCUUUUAUUAUACACAUACAUAUAUAAGAUGCCAAAUAUUUUAUUUUCAUCUAAGAGAUGUCUAUCUAAUUAAAUAAUGUGGGACAAAUAUGUAGUUAGAAUAACGAAUUCAAAGCUUCACAAGUCGCACGUUUUUCAUUUUUCUUUCUGUAGUUUAGGGACCGGCCAAAAGUACAUCAACUUAGACCCAAGCUAAGACCCAAAAAUUUGGACCAUUUUCUAACAACUUGCCGUCCAUGGAAACCGAAUCAAAAAUAGCAUCAUUCGUUGGUGACCCAUUUUUGGGAUAUUUAGCAUUAUCCCAUUCACCAUUUAUCAGCCAUCAAUCAUUCAUCCAAUAUAUAUACACAUAGACAUUUCGUAAAACUCAAAUCACUCACCACAUAAAACCAAAGUCCCAUCUCUUAAAAAACUAAUCAUUUCAAAGUUUUGUCUCUAGUCUUUCUUUUUAUUGAGCAAUGGCUUCUUCUACAAUCUCUCUCCAAUCUAUCUCCAUGACAACUCUCAACAAUCUCUCAUAUAGUAAACAAUUUCAUCGAAGCUCUCUUCUUGGUUUCUCUAAAUCCUUCCAAAAUUUUGGUAUCUCAUCUAACGGUCCAGGUUCCUCCUCUCCGACAAGUUUCACGCCCAAGAAGAAACUCACUCCUACUCGAGCUCUCUCUCAGAACUUGGGAAAUACCGAAAACCCCAGACCAAGUAAGUUUAUUUUCUUCUUGAUCUUUUCGCUUAAGUUUCGAAAAAUCAUAUAAACAGAGCUUUUUCCAAAAAAAAUGAAAUACUUUUUUUUUUUUUUGCUAAACUGCAAAUAUCAUAUAAAUGAAGGGAAAGGUUUACAUGAGUUAGAACCUAAACAAAAAAAUGAAAUACUUACAAAACAUUUUCUAAAUACAUUAUCUUUAUAUUAAAAUCAGUUUUUCAUUUCAUAAUUUUUCUAACUCCAUUAAAUUUAUAUGAUUCCAGAGCCUUAAAACCAAAAAUUUGCAAACUUGAUAAUUUAAACAUAAUAUCAGAUCUCAAAAUCAAGAACGUAUAAUUAAUUCACAAAUUGAGUUUUUAAUUUUUCAGGCAAAGUUCAAGAACUGAGCGUGUACGAAAUCAAUGAUUUAGAUCGACACAGCCCAAAAAUUCUUAAAAACGCAUUCAGCUUUAGGUUUGGUCUCGGAGAUCUCGUCCCAUUCACAAACAAACUCUACACCGGCGAUCUCAAGAAACGCGUGGGAAUCACGGCUGGUCUCUGCGUUGUGAUCGAACACGUCCCUGAGAAGAACGGUGAUAGAUUCGAAGCUACGUACAGCUUCUACUUCGGAGACUAUGGCCACUUGUCCGUACAAGGACCAUACUUGACUUACGAGGAUUCGUUCCUUGCCAUCACUGGUGGCGCUGGAAUCUUUGAAGGUGCCUACGGACAGGUUAAGCUUCAACAGCUUGUGUAUCCGACAAAACUGUUCUACACUUUUUAUCUUAAAGGAUUGGCUAAUGAUUUGCCACUGGAGCUCAUAGGAACUCCGGUACCACCGUCUAAGGACGUGGAGCCAGCACCGGAAGCUAAGGCGCUUAAGCCCAGUGGAGUUGUAAGCAACUUUACAAAUUAGUGAAUAAAAUUAGUCUUAUCUUUCUCGUGUCCUGUAUAUAUAAUAAUCUUUUUCAUAGAGAAUUUUAUAUUCUUAUACUUGUAAUCAAAUAAUUUGUAUGGAUCUUAGUAUCCUUGUGAAUGCAGUAUGUUUGAGUUGAAAAAUACUUGUAAUCGAAUCUUUAGUUUUGAGUUGUCCCCUUUUGGGGAGUAAAAUAUCUUCUUCUUAUUUUUAUUGGGUUGAAAAUAGGUUUUUGCAUAGUUUUUUUUAUCGACCUUUCAAAUACGUCACAAUUACAUUUAUAGGAGUUAGGGUUGGUGUUGUAAUCCAUAUACAUUACCACUAUGAAACUUUCAGCGAAUACAAGCAUAUACUAUCAAACUCCAAGCGAAAUAAAUACUCACAAAAGGCUCACCAUGGUCGUAAAGUGAGGAUUGAAGAAAAAUGAUCAUGUUGAUGGAUCAAAUAAAUCUUCCAUCGCCUGAUUUCAUCAUGAUGUACACUCAUCUCAAGAACAAGAAAAUGAUACUAAGAAGAAAAAAGAUAAGCUGGAUUAGGCACGAAGGUUUGGAAGAAACCCAAACUCUAACCCAAAUAUUGUGGAUAAAUAAAAAACAAUCAACUUUCGAGUUCCUUCUCCAGCCAACUUAUGGGUUGCAAAGAUACUUUUACAUAUAAAAGGGAUGCUGACCUAGUGCGAAUAUCAAGAAAUUGUGUGUGUUUUAUGUGCUCCGGGUUCAAUCUCUAUUUGGUAUACAAAUGACUGUUUUUUAAAUCCGGAUAUCUAAAGUCUAACUUUGAGUACUAGGAAGAUUAUAAGGCAAAGAUCUAGAACUCUUAUAGCUUAAAUAAAAAAUGAUUUUACAUGUAAAAGACAGAAAUUACCUAAUAUUAGUUAAGAGAUGAUAUAUUUUCAAGAAAUAAUGAUUCUAGUUGUAUAAAAUACCUAGUUUUUUUUUUGUAUUUUUUUUUGAAUAUUUAGAAGUGCAAGUCCGAAGGCCAUACAUUUCCUAGAGAUAUGAUCCACACCAGGUUAAAUUCAUUUCUUUUGGAGAAGAGAUCCCUCCCAACAGACUUCGAACCCAACACCUCUACCUGCGAGAUUUUUUUUUUGUUAUUCGUAUUAGAUGUGAUUUUGGUGCACCACGCUAGCGUUGGAGAUGAAACUCCCACAUUUUCGCACUGAAUCGACUAUUAAAGCUUGGUCUAAGCUAUCAAUUUAUUACAGUCUAUGCCAGAAAUUUAUGGCAUCCUACCUGAUAUAAAAAGCUUUAUGGCAUCCUACCUGAUAUAAAAAUCAGUGUUCUAUCCUUUAAGUUGUUCAUGUAUUUUCAUUCCAAGAGCAGCCAAUGUUGAGACAGAUUCUCUUGCUAAGCUUGCCUUAUCCGUUUAUGCUGAAAACAUUGUUAGUUAAUCCAAGUAUUGGCGUUUCAAAAAAGAAGUGAUUUUGGUGCAAAUAUCUUUUCACAGAAUAUAAAAUAAUUUUUAAUCAAUUUUACAUACAUGUAUCCGGGACAAAAAUAUAGUUAGAUUCAUUACAUUUAGAAGGUUUUUUAUUUUAUUUUUGUAGUUUAGGGACCGGCCAAAAGUAUUUCAACUUAAAUCCAAGACCCAAUGCUUAGAUCACGUUCCGACCAUGGAAACCAAAUCCAAAUUCCUCCCAAAGCAUCUUUUUAGUUUGAGACCCACUUUUGGUAAUUUACGCACGUGCUACUUCAUCAAUCAUCCCCAUUCAUCACUCAUCCAACAUGUCUAUCUAUAAAUAGACGGAGAUAUUUCGUAGAACUCAAAUCACUCACCACAUAAAGUAAAAGUCUCAUCUCUUCAUAAAAUAGCUUUAAACCAAUCAAGUAGAGUUUCUUCUCAAGUCUUUUUAUUUUAUUUUUAUCAAUGGCUUCUUCAGCAGUGUCUCUCCAAUCCAUCUCUAUGACAACUCUCAACAAUCUUUCAUGUAAUCAACAAUUUCAUCGAAGCUCUCUUCUUGGUUCCUCUAAAUCCUUCCAAAAUCUUGGUAUCUCAUCUAACGGUUCAGAUUUCUCCUAUCCAUCAAGUUUCACUGCCAAGAAGAACCUCACUGCUUCUCGAGCUCUCUCCCAAAACGGGAAUAUCGAAAACCCUAGACCAAGUAAGUUAAUUGAUCCUUUUUUGUCUUCCAAACUUGAUUAAAUAUAUGAUUACAGAGACUCAAAAUCAAGAACACAAUUCACAAACUGAGUUUGUUUUUUCAGGCAAAGUUCAAGAACUGAGUGUGUACGAAAUCAACGAAUUAGAUCGACACAGCCCCAAGAUUCUUAAAAACGCAUUCAGCUUAAUGUUCGGUCUCGGAGAUCUCGUACCAUUCACAAACAAACUCUACACAGGCGAUCUCAAGAAACGCGUGGGCAUCACGGCAGGUCUCUGCGUCGUCAUCGAACACGUCCCAGAGAAGAAAGGUGAAAGAUUCGAAGCUACUUAUAGCUUCUACUUCGGAGACUAUGGCCACUUGUCCGUUCAAGGACCAUACUUGACUUACGAGGAUUCGUUCCUCGCCAUCACUGGUGGUGCUGGAAUCUUUGAAGGUGCCUACGGACAGGUCAAGCUUCAACAGCUUGUGUAUCCGACAAAACUGUUCUACACUUUUUACCUUAAAGGGUUGGCUAAUGAUUUGCCGUUGGAGCUCACCGGAACACCGGUACCGCCGUCUAAGGACAUAGAGCCGGCGCCGGAAGCUAAGGCACUGGAGCCUAGCGGAGUUAUAAGUAACUAUACCAACUAAUUCAUGAAAUUAAAAUGUUUCUCGUAUCGCUGUGUAAUGAUAUAAAGAUUUGUAGUUUUGUGCUCUUAUCUGUAAUAAAAUCAUUGAGGAAUAAUAUCUCGAGUAUGUUUUAAGUCGUUUGGACGUUGGUACACGAAUAUAUGAAAAGUCUUUGUAAUCUUUUGGUCACUCUCAAUGAUUUUGAAUUAAAAAUAGUUUUAGUUAUAGAAAUGAUUUUAUGUAUUGCACAAGAAAAUCAAAUAAAAAGAACUAUUAAAUAAUGAAAAUAUAUAUCUUAAAUAAAAGAGUAUAACAAUUGAAUUCUUAAAAAUCAUACAGUAUCUCAACAAAUCCAAGAAACAACGAAACGAAAAAUUGAUGUAUCAUUUGGUCGAGUUAAGAUACAAAAUGAAAAAUUACAUUUUUUUUUGUAGCCAUCAUCGACAAAAAAAAAUGUCUUAGUCGCAGAUUAAAUGAAAUAAGGACAAAUGAUGGCUACAAAAAAAUAUGUAAUUUAAAACCGUCCCUAAAGGUAAAUCUGACUCAUCUUAAGAGAUUGUUUGAUUUUUGAUAUAUAAGUCAUAAGUGGUUGACUAAUGUCAAAUAAGUGACGCCUUUUGAUGACAUGGAGAAGUAUGCAGAUGACAUUGAUUGAUACGGAUGGAAUGGAGAAGUUAAUGAUCUACAUGUCACACUCCUCAUUUCAAAAAUAGUUAACGGUGAUUAUGAGUCUUCAUCGAAUACUCAUUUUAAAGGAGUUGCUGAUAAAAAAAAAAAGAGUGGAUGUUAUGGGCAUGUAUUUAAGGGCAUGUAUUUAAACAAGAAGUUACCAAUCGUAGCCUAUGACUAGGAUUAUGGCAUGCAUGAUUACCAUGAUGUGGAUCAGGAUAUAGAGUAGAGAAUGUUAACGCAAGAGACAUUGCUAGAUCAAGAAUUAACUCAUACAAAAAUGAUGACCGGAGAUUGAUGAUAUCAAAUUAAAUUAAGUAACAUAGACUCACAAACGCAUGGUGGUAAUUUGAAGCCUAUGCAUUCAAAGAAUGUUGGAGUCAUGGAUCCGAAUAGAAUUGUUGAUACUAGUGGGACCAGUCCUUCCUUGAGAAAAAGGAUGCAUGAACCAUCUCGUGAUUGUAGUGCUAUUAUGUGUGUACACGGCAAAUUGACACAACCGAACCGACCAAGUUAUAUAUAUGUCACUAAAACAGUCUGACCAACAAGAGUUUGAAGACCUGCAGGCUACGUUUAUAUCUUUUGACUAUUAUAGUAUGUUCCCAUUACUUUGAGAUCUCGUAGUACUCAAUAAAUAUUACACGGUUUUAAGUCGAUAAAUAAUAAAUACAUAAAAUUCUCUAGCUAACGCUUUUAGACAAUUCGAAACCGAGUGGAAACUACACAAAGCAUCUUUUGACAUAUACGCACGUGUUACUUCAUCAUCGUCCAAUAUAAAUAGACUCAUUACUAAACUCAACAACCAUUAAAACCAAAGAUCAAUCUCUUCUUAAUAGUCAAUCAUAUAUCAAAAAAUUUAAACUCUUCUUGAUCAAUGGCUUCUUCUUCUGCUGCUAUGUCUCUUGAAUCCAUCUCUAUGACAACUCUCAACAAUCUCUCUCGUAAUCAUCAAUCUCACCGCAGUUCUCUUCUUGGUUUCUCAAGAUCUUUCCAAAACCUUGGAAUCUCAUCUAACGGUCCAGAUUUCUCCUCCCGAUCAAGAUCUACUACUUCCAAGAACCUCAACGUUACUCGAGCUUUCUUCUGGAAUUGGGGCAAGAAGACCGAAAACUCCAGACCAAGUAAGUUUAAUAGUUUAUAGAUCCUUUUGUCUUUUAGUACACUGCGACUAAGUCAACGCCUGUUAAUCCGAUAUUUUUCCUAGAUUUGAGACAAAUCAAGAUUUAAAGACUAAUAAUCCUUUUUGUUAGCUCAGAAAUCAAAAUGCUUUAUUUCAUAAGCAAAAUCGAUUAGAUCUUUAAAUGCCCUGCUCAAAAUUGAUUGGUCUAAAAAAUAAUCAGAUCUUAAAAAAACAAAGUACCGAAUUCAUAAAUUCGAGUUUUAAUUAUUCAGGUAAGAUCCAAGAACUAAACGUGUAUGAGCUCAACGAAGGAGAUAGAAACAGUCCAGCAGUUCUUAAACUCGGCAAGAAACCAACAGAGCUUUGUCUCGGAGAUCUCGUCCCAUUCACAAACAAACUCUACACCGGCGAUCUCAAGAAACGCGUGGGAAUCACGGCAGGUCUCUGCGUUUUGAUCCAACACGUUCCUGAAAAGAGCGGUGACAGAUUCGAAGCUAGUUACAGCUUCUACUUUGGUGACUAUGGUCACUUGUCUGUACAAGGACAAUACUUGACUUAUGAAGACACGUUCCUCGCUGUCACUGGUGGCUCUGGAAUCUUUGAAGGUGCGUACGGACAGGUUAAGCUUCGUCAGCUUGUGUAUCCGACAAAACUGUUCUACACUUUUUACCUUAAAGGGUUAGCUAAUGAUUUACCGCUGGAGCUUACUGGAACGGCGGUUACGCCGUCGAAGGAUGUGAAACCGGCACCGGAAGCUAAGGCGAUGGAGCCUAGUGGAGUUAUAAGUAACUUUACUAAUUAAGUAAUUAGCUGUUUAAUAGUUGUUUUGUUUUGUAAUAGAAUAUUUUGAUGAGUUGUGUGAGGUUAGUUAAUGAUGUGUUGAGGGAAUAAAGUAUUUAUUUUGAUGUGACUUUAUUGAUUACAACUGGUCUUUCUACAACGUGGAACUGUUGUACUCGAUUUCAAAGUAAAACUUUUUACAUUAGUUUCGGUAUUUUCACGGAAUAAAUUGAUAGCUAGAACCUUUAAUCUUAUGGUUUAAAAUGGUACACUCAUAUACACAGUUAGGGUAGUGGAGUUAAUGCUAGUAAUUAGUAACACAAUAUUUUUUGGUUCGUUAUGGUUUUGGUGUUAAUUGUGUUAAUGUCAUAAUGCUUUAACGCUAAUUUGUUGUUGGCACAGAUAUUUAAAACUAAAAAAAGCAACCUAGUUAUUGCUGGCUAUCUUUUUAAAUUGAGAAGUUAACAUCUUGUCAAGUGAAUCGUGUAAUAUUGUUAUACUCUAAAGAUCGAUAUUAUUGUGUCUACCAGUCAAAACAUGUGUUGGAGGGAAAUUUUAUUUGUAGGUUCAUCAUAUGUCAGGAACAUUAUUGUCAUGUUUCUGUAAGCUUUCUGACAUUUAAGUUCAGAUUUUGACCAUAAGUUUUGAUCAUAAAUGAGAAAAGAACAAAGUUAAGUUUAGUUUUGCGAAUGUUAAAAAAAAUAAAUAUCUUAUUUGCACUUUUUGAAUUAUUUACCAAAUAUAAAAACCAAGAUGGUGUUUUUUUUGUAAUACCAAAAAAGAGAGAAUUUUAGCUACGAGAGAAUGCAAAAUUCGGAUUUGUGAUCCGUUUUAUUGAAAAAGAUUUUAGUUUCAUAGAACAUAUAUCAAGUAGUAUACAAAUUGAAAAAUAGGGUCUGAUAGAUCCGAGACACUUGGGUAUUAUCACCUAACUUUUAAACGUUUAUGCCAGUUUUUUGACAAACAAAUCACGAAGUAUUUGAGGAUAAAUACAGUAUUUGUUUAUGUUUUCUAUCUUUUUUUAGGAGGAUGAGUUCAUUGGUUUGAUCUUAAACAAUUGAAAAUUUAUAGGUUACCACCAAUUUUGCGAUUUUUUUUCUUCUUCUAUACUUUAGAUUUAAGUUUAUAUAUAGAUAUUUUCGUUUGAUAUCAAUAUGGGAAGCCCACAAAGUUGGGGAGUUUAGUGGUACCUUUUUUUUUGGUUCACAAUUGCAUACGAAUAUUGGGGAGUUUAGUGGUACUAUUGCAUACGAAUAUUGGAGAUACGAGAAAGGGGUGGAAAAAAUUGAUGAUAAAUUGAGCCCAAGUAGGAAACAAUACACAAGGCCGUAUAUAAAGUUGGCAUGUUGGGUUCAAUACAUGAGGCCGUCUUUUUGUUCGGCCGCGGCCAGUGGUGAACACUGAAUAUGGCCUUUUGAGACUCCGAGGGGACAAUUAUAAUCCAACACUAAAAUACAUCUCUAAACUCUAUUUGCCAACUAAUUUCUUUAUUUAAAAUACGUUUCAAUCUAAUCAAAACAGAUAAGCCUGUUAAACACAAUUUUGAUUUCUCGAGACUACGAAUAGGUGGAUCUAUUUGUAUCAUAACAUCAUAACAUAUAAAUCGAUAUUUAAAAUUUUGAGUAAUAAAUUUGAUGUUGGUCUCUAACAAUUUGCGGGUAAUUUCUUGAUAUUUUGGACAUCACCCGAACAUAUUAGCUCAUUACACACCAAUUUCUAUAGAGGCAACAUAUUUUCUUAUCAUUAAAGUUGACAGCUAUUAGAGCCCUUAAUCACGUUUGAUUUCAUAUCUAAUUCCAAAUUAUAUGGAUAUAACAACAGCAUAGCAUAUAAAUUGAUAUGUGUAGCAUUAGGUUAUAUCUUUGACCGGGAAAUGCAUUGGCAGGCCAUUAUACUGGGAAGAUGCAUUCGCAUAUAUAUUAGUAGGUGUACUUAGUAAUCGUCUACUUGACAUAAUUAAAAUUACCGGUCAAAAACACGAGAUAUAUAGGAACUCAUAUUGUGUGGAUAUAUAUAUUAGUUUACAUGUGUAUUUAUGGAUAAGGUUAUAACGAAUUCAACAAAUUCUCAAGGUCCUAUGAAAUUUCAACAAGUAUAUUACAGUUUUUUUUUUAUAUAUGGCUUUUCUUCUCCCAUGUUUCGGCUGUCUACGAAGAGACAUUUGGCUUUUCAUAUUGGGAUAUUGAAAAAUACAUUUUCAACGUUUUAUAUAUGAUUUUGUGUGGGUGAAAUUAAUACUUACAGAACAAAAGAGCUCAUGCACGUUUAGUGUUAUUUUGGCGGCUGUUUUUAAGGAUUUGCAUAUAUUCUUUCCCACGUAUUGAAUUCUAUAAAUGACAUAAUAAUCAAACUUGUAAAAAUAAUAGAAUGAAUAGUUUAUAGUCUUCCAAAAUUCGAUUUCUGUUGUAGUGGAAUCGCAGACAUUUUCUAACUUAUGAAUGUUGUUAUAGGACUUCUUUAAACCUUGGUUGGAUAUACCCAAAUAAAUAUAAAGUUCACACGAAAAAAACUUGGAAUCACAUCCAGGAAUAUUCACCACUGGAUCAAUACUACUAUACAACAAGGGAAAAAAAAAUAUUUAACUUGGGAAGGUAUAUACUUAUUUUAUAAACAAAAGCAAGAUUCGCCUUGUAAUGCGACGGCCCGACUUCUCUCUUUCAAAUAAUGAUCCUUGAGAAACCCUAUAGAGCCAUAUAUACGUUGUCUUUAUAAAGAGACAUAACUCAUCUCUUCUUGACUAACUUUAUAGUUAAAGUUAUCAAUUAUUCGAAAACAAAGCUGGUUUUUUGUUUUGUCCCUUAAACCAGCAUGAUCAAGAACUUAAGUAAUAUGAAGAAUGACAAUCAGAAACGUGAAAAAUGUUGCGAGUACAUCGAAGCUCUCGAAGAAGAACGUCGCAAGAUCAAUGUUUUCCAACGCGAGCUUCCUCUUUGCGUAGAGCUCGUGACUCAAGGUACAUACAUAUGCAUUUACAUUUCAUAUAAGAUAUAAUGAGUUUAUAUAUAUGGAUUAAAUGUUAGAUCUAAAGAUUUUUAAAAAAUGUUUUAUGGAAUUUAGCGAUUGAGGCGUAUAAGAGGGAGAUAUCAGGGACGUCGACGGAUAACUUAUACGGACAGUCGGAGUGCUCAGAGCAGACCACCGGAGAAUGUGGGCGCAUCUUGGAUCUGUUCAUACCAAUCAAACACUCUUCGACCUCCAUAGAAGAAGAGGUUGAUGACAAAGAUGAUGAUGAUGAAGAACACCAGUCUCAUGAAACCGACAUAGAUUUUGAUGACAAGAACAUGAAAUCUGAAUGGCUCAAGUCUGUUCAGCUCUGGAACCAAUCCGACGCAGUUGUUUCUAAUAAUAGACAGGUAAGAUUUUUAUUUUAUUUUAUUUUUUCUUUGUUUACAUUUGUGUUUUUGUUUGCCUUGAAUUACAUUUACUGUAUUGUUUCCAAACCAGCCUAUUGACGUUGUUAAUUGUUAACGUAAAGACUAAACGCAUAACCUUCUGUGUACUUUAUGCGAUUGUGUUUGUAACUUACAACUUCACAAAUAGAUUAUUCUUUUUUCUUCCAGUUUUUGUUUUUUUUAAUAGACCGAAAAAGGAUGGGUGCACAAAAAGAUAGUAAAUUGCUCACAAAAAGAUUUUGUUUUGUAAUUUAAGUUUCUAAUAGCAUUUUGCGUAUUCAGGAUCGCUCACAAGAAAAGACAGAGACGCUGGUAGAGUUGAUAAAAAUAAACGAUGAAGCAGCGAAGAAAAACAACAACAUAAAAUCACCGGUGACUACUAGCGAUGGUGGCAGUGGCGGUGGCGGUGGCAGAAGAGGGCAGAGAAAGAAUAGGCGGUGUUGGUCGCAAGAGUUACACAGACGCUUCUUGAACGCUCUUAAACAACUUGGUGGCCCUCAUGGUGCGUUUCUUGGUUUUAAGUUAAAACAUAUAUAUCAGUAGUCAUAUCUUUUUGUUAGGGCUCAUGAAGUUUAAUUAAUUCGUAAUGACCUUUUUGUUCACUAAAUUUUGAAGUAGCUACGCCGAAACAGAUAAGAGAUAUAAUGAAGGUUGAUGGGUUAACAAAUGAUGAAGUCAAAAGUCAUUUACAGGUUAGUAAAUCAUAUUCCAUGAAAAAUACAUGUAACUAAUAUGUAAAAGGUAUAUAUUAAUUUCAUCAUUUUAGUUACAAAUGUUUUUAUAAUUUAGAAGGAAAAUAAUAUUUAUUGUUUCAUAUUUUUUUUAAUGAUAAAUAGAAAUAUAGGCUGCAUGCAAGACGGCCAAGCCAAACAACACCGAACAACAGAAACUCUCAAACGCAACAUUUCGUGGUGGUUGGUGGAAUAUGGGUCCCACAGACUAACCAUUCAACGGCCAACGCAGUCAACGCCGUCGCAUCGGGUGAGACCACCGGGAUUUAUGGGCCUAUGGUCAGUUCGUUGCCGUCCGAGUGGCCGAGGCAUUCCAAUUUUGGUAGGAAGAUUUCGGAAGAUAGAUCAAGAUGCUCUAACAACGGAUUUUUUCGGUGUAGCUCACCAGCUAUGUCUUGUUCUACUCGUACAAAGACGAAAGAUGCAAAAAUAAUAUCAUAAAUUUAAUUUUUGAUUAUUUAUUAAGAGAAAAAAGUUAUAGACAUUAAUAUUGUGAAGAGUGUAUAUAUAUAGAUGUUGGAGCGUGACUCUAUGUUAUUUUUAGUUUCUUGGUUUUUUUCUAUUAGCCGAUGAUAUCUUUGAUCAAAGAUCCAUAUUAGCUAAUGCAUACUAUAUUUUUUUACGUCGUGCAAUAUGCAUAUCGAUGAUAAUAAGUUAAUAACACAAAAUUAUUAGAUUACUAGUUGAAGAAUCGUAUAUAGAAAGAAUCGUAAUUAUAUGUAGAAUGAUGGUAUAUUAUCAGCAUAUAUUUUUAUAGAGGCUUUAGCCACCAAAAUUAAUAAAUGUCAGUCACAAACUCAAAUUAAUUAAUUUCGUCCUUAACAUAUGUAUGUCGGCCAGGUUUCUAUUUGCUAUAGUAAUAUAAGAUACACAGAAACAUUGUAGAAAUGUAAAAUGUCUUCGAAAACAGAAGAAAAAUACAUAUAUAAACUUUUUUGAAUGAAAAUAAAAAAAAUUAUGCCAUACAGAAGGAUCGGAACUCGGUAGAAUAUGCCGGAAUCUGAAGAGCAUAAUCUGCAAAUAUGUUUUUCAGGUUAAACUUUAUUCUCUUGUUGCUUGUACUGGAUAUUAACACAAAUGUGCACGUUGGGCUCCUUCUCGUGGAGUGAAUUAUUCUUUAUUUGUUCCUUUUACUUUUGUAAAUACAAUUUUUCCAUAUAAGUAUAUAACUGUGUAAAUAUUAAACCCAAAAUAUGUUAAAAGACAAGUUUUUUUGUAACUUAAGGGCAAGAAACAAGGUGUAAAGCCACAUGAAAAUUGCUGACCAUUCUAACUCUCGACACUACUAUACAAUUAAUAUCUCUUGACUUGUACUCAUUCUCUAUAACAACAACAAUUGUUGGGUUUUCUUGUUCGCUCUCACUGUUGUUUAUUAAGUGUUGUUCGUUUGCGAGGUUUUCUGAAUCAAUAAUCAAAAUGAUUUCGAUUGAUAAGUUAUCCUUUAAUCAAAAUUUCUUGGUUCCUAUGGUUUCAUCACCUCAAACAUAAAAAAAUCAUACCAAGUUGUUAAAUAUCUUUAAAAAUUCCUACCAAGUUACUAAAUAAGUGUUCACAAAUUUAGGGAUCCUUUCAUGUGACUCUAUGAGCCAUGUGACCUAUUUUUCUACUACCUUUAUAACAAAUGGGGCUACAGUUUUAAUAAUAUUCUUACUGAUAAUUUAAUUUGAAUACGAAGACCAUUGGGAAACUUGAACAUUGAGAAAGGCUAUUGGAGUUCCCGAGAUGGCGGUUUGAUCUAUUUCAAAUCUUCAAUAAUAUUACUAUUAUCAAAUACUUCUUUGAUUCUAUAGAUGUGUAAGUAUUAAUAAUUUAAUAUUUGACGAUGGAUCCAAAAGAACAGGAAUCGGAUUAGGGUUUCCUUAUGAUAUGAUUUAUUAAUAGAUUGGAAUGGGUUUUAAACUCUUAGAAGCAGGAUCUUUAUGUGACCUUUCAGAGUCAUAAAAAGCCUAAAUAGCUCUUGAUACUUACUUUAAGACCAUUAUGAGAUCAAACCAUGGAAAAAUAAACAAAUAGUAAAGCAACAAAUGCUUUUUCUUGGUCUAUACUUCAUUACUUCUCAUAUUAACUAAUAUCAUAUCCAUAAGGAAUAUUCGACUACACCUAUUAUUAAUUGUAUAAUGUUAGUUCAUAAUUUAUCUACAUUUGUGCAUAAACAAUUAAACAUAUCUCUGAUUAACAAUAAUAAAAUAUAUAGUACGUGCUAAUCUUGUUUUAAUCUUCUCUUAUAUAAGAUUAGGAUUGAUCAACCAAGUUUGACAUGGUGUCUUAGUCUUAUAGGAGUGAAAUUUUUAAUCAACCUUCCAAGGAUUCUUUCGUCUAUCCACGAUGACGAAUAGGUUGAAAUGGAAACAGAUUUCUUUCAGUUCUAUACGUGUUUGAUUUUAUUUUUCUUUUAAUAAUACAAAAUAAUUAUCAAUGAAACUAUUUAAAUAGUCUCAGAGCUAUAAAUGUAAUAAAGUAACAAUGUUUACUAAUUUUCUAAUAGCAACAUGAUGUUUCAUUAUGUUCUUUAAUUAUUUCUGCAAAACAAGUAUCAAUUUGGGAUUCAGCUAACGUUGAGUGCUAGCUGCUCUUCACAUUUGCACACAAUUUUGGGCUAAUGAGCCCGAAAAGUUUACGAAGAUGGACCAAGCCCGUUUAUAGCCCCCGAGGUUAAAAUUCCGAAAGGUUAAUUCCCAAAAACUUAAAGGUUUUGACGAUCUAAAUUUUGAUUUUAAUGAACGGAAAUAGUAAAUGACCUGAAAUAGAAAAAAAUCAACUAGAUAAUCUACAAUUUAAAGAUUUGCAGAAAAUCUUGGACGAUAAAACAAGAUACUAACAUUUCUCACAGAAUAAUUUUGCUAUAAUAAUUUAAAGUUCAGCUGCUAUAUUUUUUUUCCUUUGUUAAUUUCAUCUGCUAUUUAUUUGACCAAAUUAAAUAUGUUAUCUUGAUUUGUUAUCGUACGUCUACAUAGUCUCUAAUUUUAAAAAACAAUUGCCGUAAUUUUAGUUUUUAUUUAAUUGAAAUUUUAUUUACACAUGUAACAAAUAAAAAAAAUGAUUGAAAAGAAUAAUGUAUAUUAUUUUAAAGUCAUAACUAGUAACAUGUAAAAAAGUAGUUAUACAUCACUAUUUUAGGCAGUCAAUGGUAAUGAAAAAAAAAGAGCUUAUUUUCUAGACCUGCAUUGUUUAUAUUAAUUUAUACAUAGUUGAAAAUGAGAUUCAAACUAUGCUUUCAAUAAAUAGGUGAAGGAUCGAGGUCGAGGCACCAUCGAUAUAGAGUCAGCUCGUCCUUCACCACGGCAAUUUCAUGCCAACAUCUUGCUCAAAUGAGUAUUCCAUGGAGAGUGAUUGGUAACCUGCAAAAGAAAAAGAAACUUAAAAAGGUUUAUAUGUAUAAGGUUCACGUCAGUGUUUGAGUGACUUAAAAAAGUUUGUGUUAGUUAUAAAACUAAUAUCUCAUGGACUGACGUAAAGUUAAUUAACUCUACGUAAUUGUUGUUAAUAUCCUUCCCAUUUUUCAAUCUUACCUCAUUUAUACAAGUGUUGUUAAUUAAGUGACCGGCGGUUUUUUUUUUUUUGUAUAUAUGAGCAUGCAAAAUUACUAACUCUUACUACUAAACAAAAUCUCUUUACUGUAUAUAUGAGCAUGCAAAAUUAGUCAUUAUAUUUUAUUGUUAGUGAAACCUAAAUAAACCAGAACCAGUGAUAGUAAGUUAAUCAAUAUAAUCUGAAGGUGCGAAACAUCAGCACGAACCCAAAUUCGAGUUUUACGUAUUGCGGACGUUAAAGAUAAUGAACUGAUUUAUCAAAAAAAGAAGAAGAAAGAUAAUGAAGUGAAAAACAAAUUAUAAAAUAGAGUGAAUUUUUUGUCCAAAAAAAAAAGAGUAAAAUUAAUGUUAAAAAUAAAAAUAAAAAUAAAAAAUAGGUCAAAUAUUCUUUGUGUAUAAAAUAACCUAAACCAAAAUAUGGAUAAAAUAAUUAUUCCAGCAAAAGAGAAAAGGUAAGCUUUAACAAGAAAAAAAGAAUGUUAAAACGUUAACAUGCAUAAACUUUAAAAAAAUAGUAAUCAACUAAAAGGGUAGUGUUUACCAAGCUAAUACGAUCCGAUUCUUUCAACAUUUGUUUCUGUCUCGCUCUCUUUCUCGAUAUAUGAAUGAAAGGCAUCAUAUUUUUAUUUUUCUUAUUAAAAGAAACCUUUGGAAGAACUUAUAUAAAAAAUGAUCAAGUAGACUCUAUUUAAAUAGACAAAGUAAAGCUUACAUACAUGUGUAUGUAUAUACGUGUUUGGUAGGAAAUAACAAUUGGGGUAAAUCUAAGGUAGUAGAGAAUUAGACAUAUAAAUGUCUUUUAUUUGUUUUGGUGGUUGGGAUAUAUAUGCUCUAACCUCCAACAUUUUUUAAUACUAAAUUGGCAAUAUACCUUAUACAGUUAUACUCAUUGUAUUGUCAGCGGUUAUGUCUAAUCACAAUCAUAUACUAUAACAUAGUAUGUUCUCAUGCUAUCAAUUCACAAUUUCUUUGUAUAUAAAUCAAAUUUUUUGAUGAGAAAAUGUUAGUUAAUUUGUAGGUUUAUUCGAAAGAUUUUUUCUUUAAGAAAAAAAAAAAAAGAUCGUCAAACAAAAUGGAUGGAAUCACAUAUGCGAUGUAUGCUGCAGUGCCGGCCUUGAACAUACAUAAAUAUUUGAUAUUUUCAUGUAUAACAAGUCUUUUAAGGCUGGGCUUGUGGUUUUGAGAAUUUGGUUAUUACACGCUUCUUGCGUUUUGUAUUUUUUUGGGUCAUAAAAAAUUUCACCCAAAAUAUUAAAAUUUUGAAUUAUAUAUGGAUAGAUACACAGAUAUGUAAGCAAGUUCCAUUCAGGUAUCAAGUUUAGACUAAUCGUAAAAAAGACGACGCCAUAUAUUCGUAGUAAUUAAUAUACAUAUACCCCAAUUAACAGAAUUCGAUUUCAAGCCCCCACAAUCUAUUAGUAUAUGCUUAAUUCAUCUUGUGUGAUAGUUUGACGGGUUAUUAUGUAAAACGUGCAUGUGAUGAGUGCUUACUUAGCAGUCUUGACUCUCGAGCCUACACGUUUGUUGCGCGCGUAUGCAUGCAGCAUAUAUACACAUGUACGUAGAUGUGAAAUGCAUGCACUCAGGGCCGGCUCAACAAAACGUGGGACCCUGUGCUCAUUAGUUUUUUUUUCUAAUAUAUGUUUUAUAUGUUUAGAUUUUAGUUUAUUAUACACUACUGUUUGUAUAAUGGACCUUGAUUGCUUAAAGAAAAUGAAUGAAAAAAUAAAGGACCCUGUGCACUAGCACCAAGGGCACACCCUCUAAGCCGGGCCUGCAUGCACACAUAUAUAAUAUAUGUAUAUAACCAUCACGAUCGCGCGAUACUGUUUCUUAAGUAUGGUGACGUACGUAAUUGAUUACUUGAUGGUUCUACUACAUAGAAAGGAAAACAAAAAAUAAAUAUAAAUGGGUUGUUUCAUAAAAUCUCAAACCAAACCAAAACCUAACUUAAAUGUAGCUGAGUUAUCAUAUACCAUAUGGUAUAAAUUUUGGAAUGACUUUGUAGUUAUUUAUUGUAAUUUAGAAUGUUAUAAUUACUGAUCAUAAUAUUAAGUCAAAAACAUCGAAUCAAUAAAAAGCGACAUAGAUUCUUAGUAAUUAUACCGGCCAAAUAAUACUAUUAAACAAAAGUUACAAAAAAGGAUCCGUAUAUCGUGAAAAUCAAUCACAUGCAUCAAACAAUAGAAUGAAUUAAUUCACGCCGGAACAUCUACUUGGUUUGAUUUUAAAACUAAACCGAACCAAACAUAUUAAAAAUCGAAAUAAACCGACCAAAAACCAAAACCUUAAUUAUCCCUAAAUAAUUUCACCAAAAUAAAUAUAUUCAAAGCAACAUGCUUGUGUUAAGUAGCUUUUGAAACUCCAUAUUGUUCCAUUUACACUACGUUAUGAUAUUAACAAGACGAUAUAUGGGUUCCAGUUCCACUUACAAGUACAAAAAAGAGUUGUAGAAGCAUCAAAUCUAUGACAACUCCCCUUCAAAGUUCAAAGUUCAAAGUUAUGAAUGAUUAAAUUGAUCAAGUUUCACGUGGAGUGGUGGAUAUACUCACCAUUUAAUAUCUCAACUCUAUAUAUAUUUCUUAUUUAAAAAAAAAAAAGAAUUUAAACGCAUAUUAAAAAGCAUCGCAAGAGCUUUUUGCUUGGAUGGUUGUUGGGGAUUUCAACGCAACCAUCUCGCUAUCAGAUGCUUCCACUCCAAAUGUCACGCAUUACUCUCCAGCCACGGAAAUAUCUUUCACUUGUGCUUUUUGAAUAGUGAUUUAUUUAAUUUUGACUAUUUAAGGUCCCACUUGAUCAAAUAGAAAACCUAAUUGCGAAUAUGCUCUCUUUUAUUCACAAAACAGUGGCUAUCAAAUCGUAAAUAACUUGGUACAUUUAUCGUAAAAUAAUAUUACACUAUUCAUUUAAAUUACUUGUAUUAUAUAUCAUUUAUUUACGGUUUUUGUCACAAUUGUUUUCAUAUUAAUUUUGCUAUAUAAAUUUGGUUAUGUAGCUAAUAAGCAUAUACAAAAUAUUGUUUUUCAUUAAUCUGCAUUUCAUUUUGUUUUAUCCAAUCCGUGAUUCAUAAUAACACACUUUAGUUUUGGAGUUUCAUUGUUUCAAUAUAAGCUUCCUACUCCGAUCCUAAACAUAUAUAUCUUGAAGAGUUGGAGAAGAUUUGUUAUGCAUUCUUAUGGAAAUGAAUCACGUCUUCAACACAUGGAGUCAAAAUGACUUGAGAUUCUUAUUGCUUUUCAAAAUAAUGUGGAUGUCUUUGCAUGAGAAGAUUAAUCGAUUGGAAAAAGAUUUUCGUGUUUAAGUUGAUUCGACUCUUGUUUUGGGAGAAAGUUUGCUAUAUAUGUAUCACGGAUUUUCAAGAAUUUGAUGGAAGACUCUAUUUUCUAGGUUUUCAACUACCAAAACGUAGGUAGCUGGAUCAUUCAUGGUAUUCAAUUGACUGAUGAUCCUAGCUAGCAUUGAGCAUGUUUAUAACUUUUCUUUCCUCAAUAUAUAGUGUACUGUCUAUUUUACAUAAAUCUCCAAGCUCUCCACAGUUUUUGUCAUUCAGAUAAAAAGUUUUAUCAGAAUAAAAUUUGUAGAGGGUGGGAAUCUUUGUUGAUGAUAUAAUUAAAACAAACAAUUUUUUUUUGGCAGGUGGAACAAAAACAAAAUAAACAACUCUGUUUGAUUGCAACUACACAAUAAAAGUUCUAACCAAAAAGGUAUGUAAAAUGAUUUUAUUUUAAGAAAAAAAAAAUGAUUUUAUUUUAUUUAUUUUGGGAAUAAAUCUACCAAAUAUUAAAUGUUAGAAUGUUGAUGGCAACGGAACCAUCCACGCGGCAAUGAACAUGGCCUUUCAAAAAUUAGGUUCUUUUUUUUUUUUGAUAAUUGGAAAACGGCUUACAAAUUCAUACUAUAACAUUACAUAGAAUAUAACUAUAUAAUAUAAAAAUGAAAUGAAUACUAAGCUGUUAAGAAUACUUUAUUAAAAGAUAAACAUCAAUAUUGAAAAAAAAAAAAAAACAAAUCAAGUUGAUUGUGGAAAGAGAAGAUUAGACAAGAACCGAAACAGUCGGCCAUAAUUAAGCAAUGGUUAACUUUUAAUCUUUUAGUGUUGUGGAUUUUGAAAACACUACUCGGUCUUAAGCAGUUCAAUUGUGUUACAACGAUGUUACGUGCCCUCUUACAAAAAUUGUGUUAAGACGAUGUUCACGUUUUUCGAAAACUAAUCCAAUGUGAAAUGAUGAAAUAAAUCGAACUAUAAAUUUGUUUGGUUAUAUGACUAGUACUAUAAAACAAAAACUUGCUUGCUUAUAUCAAUAGUAGGGGGGAAAUCGUGAUACACUUUUACUGAAAAUGAUCUUUCUUUUCUUUUUUUGUUCUUUCAAUGCAAAUUUUGUAACAUGUUACAUUUUCGAAUUCAUUUUUUCUAAAUGUACUUCUCAAAUAAUAUUGGUACUAGUAGAACAUUACCAGAAAAUUUUAACACGAUUAUCAACACGUUUUAUUCGUAGUUAGUUAGGCUUAAGCAGCACGUUGAAAAAUACAAGUAACUAACUACGAAUACAUGAUCUACGAAAAAUGUUUGUUGAACUAAACGAAAAGUUAUCAACAUAGAGUUUUAAACACAUUAGUAGCAAGACAAUGGACAAAACCCGUACCGAGGCACUCUAGUAGUUUGCGUGUAAUAAAAAACACAAGACGAGAAUCCACUACUACGUUACAAAAGUCUUGAGAUUUGUUUUUUUUUUCAAUCAAAUAGAAAACGAUUAUAAGCAGAGAGACAAGAUCUAAUGGUUUUAGCUAGACAUCAUCACAUUGUCAAUAGAUUGUAGAGCUUGGUUUGCGAAAAACCUGACAUCAACAUCUGGAUCCUCGCUUAGCUCCACAAGCCCAGGACGAAUCGUCUUCUCCACAACCUUUUUUCACCACAAAACCAAAAUCAAACAGAGCUGUUUUCAUAACAAACUAAUAAACUAAAUGGAGUUGGCGAUGCACUUACCGAUUGAUCAACUAUUGGAAUGAGGGAUUGAAGUACUUUAGCGACGUUGAAUUUGAUGUUUGGAACUCUGUAGUAGUGAAAGAGUUGUUUAUUUACUUAAUAUGUUUGAAGUACAAUGAUUUGAGUAUUAACUAUUUUACAGUGAGAACUUGCCUGUCUUUAGAUGCAGUCAUUACUACAGGUAAGAGCUUAGAGCAUGUAAUCUCUGAGCCCAUUACAGGUGCAAGAAGAGACACCGCACGCAAAAUGGUCAUUCGGUAGAGAUAGUGAGGGUUGUUAACCAUCUCAAGAACCUGCGGAUUAAUGAAUAGCGACUAAUUAACACUAACAAGAUAGACACUGACUUUUCUAAAGUUGUAAAAAUUCUAGACAAACCUGAGGAACUAUAUGUUGCAUUGCCCAUUCAGGACCAAAUUCCUCAGCAAGCCGCUUGAGAUUGUUAGCAGCAGCAUCGCGGAUUGAGUGAACCUAAUGAGAGCAUCCGCAAAAAAAAAAAAAAAAAAAAAAAAAAAAAAAAAUCAAUUUCUAUAAAUAAGAAGCGGUAUAAUCUGAUCAUUCCCAGUAAAAGUAAGAGAGAGAAAGAAAUACCUUGUCUUGUAACCAUUGCAUGCAAAGAGCACCAAGCUUAUCGUCAAAGAAGCCAACACCUAACUGACUUGCCAACAAAGGGAUAUACUCGAUUAUAGCAAGUCUUACUCUCCAGUGUCUAUCUUCAGCAAGUUCUACAAUAGCUGGCAACAAGGAUUGUGAUAGUAGAUCAAUCCCAAUAACCUGCCACAUAUAAAAUAUAGAAGUCAUCAACUGAAUAUGGAUGGGCGAGAAAGGCAAGUUAAAAGAGUGAAAGUCUUUUAAACAAAACAUGUUAUCAUGAAGCCAUUGGCAUGAUCUGGUUUGGGUAUUUCUGUUGUAACAAACCUGAUUCACUUGGUCAAGUUUGCUGAUAAUGUUCAAGCGUACAUCCGGGAACUCAUCUUUCAAUAGAGAAAGAAAGAUUGGAAGGAGAUGCUCAAUUGUUGCAUCCUAAAAUAGAAAAAACAACGUGAAGUUAAAAUCUGCAACAUACACAAUCCAACCAAAACAUCCUGUAUAAGAAACGCACGUCAAUUAAACUCAUUUUUGUACAAUUGGUAACAACCUAAGUAUAUUUCUUCUUAAUGAUGAAAGAGCACAUGAGACGCUUCAGACAUCAGGACGAAAAACAGUUGGACAUAGUCAUAAUCAUUAAGAUGCUAAAAUGAAUUUGUGCAUUAUGAACCAACACAUCUCUGUUUGCAAACUCUCUUACCUUACCCAAGACUGGAGCCAUUCCCAUUAUAACUGAGGCCAAUGCAGAUCUGACAUGCUGAGAAGAGUCUGAUGAUAGCUCCUACAGGUAGCAUUAAGAGGAAUCAUCAGUAAUAUGCAACAACUAUACGUUGAUUUUCUGUAAGGAACUUGGAAAACAAUUGAAUUCUCUUAAGCAUGUACCUUCACACAGGGGAGAAUGUGCUGGAUAGCAAUUUCAGGGUUUAGAAUCCGACAAAACUUUGUAACUUUUCCGGCAGCUGCUAUGCGUACUUCAGCUUCAUUAUCACGAAGUAGGCGCACAUAUGCAGGCACCAGCUCCGUCCUUAAAAUAGAAGACACAGUAAAUAGUAUCAAGAGGAAGUAAAUGGGAUCAUCAAGUUCCUUAAGCCUAUUGGAUGAUAUGCAUUUCUAUAUUGAACAUUAAAUUAGCCCAUCAAAGGUAUUAAAACAUGCUGCAUUAGGUUUAUGCAAAACGUUCUUACCUAGUAGGCUCAGGUCCCACGGCUUCACAAAGCUCGUAGAGUUGAUUUGCAACCAUAUAGCGCACACGCCAAGACUUAUCCUGCUCAGUGAAAAAGUACAAAGAUUAAGCAUUUCUUUUAAAUGUAGAUCAUCAGCAUAAAAGCCUACAGACAUAAUCACCUGCGAGAAAUUAACAAUCACGGGAAGAAUGUGUUGGACACAAUCCUGAGGCUCCAACAAUUUCCCAAGAGCAGCACAACCCUCAACGGCCAAUAAUCUAACAGAAUCUUGAUCUGAUAUGAAAAAAACGUAAGAUGAAAUUCGACAAAUAUAUAUGCUGUAGAGUAAAUAAACGCUCAGUGUUCAAUACCAUCUUGAGUAAGAUCCUCAAACAUGGACAUAACGUCGGUCUUCAAAUGCGCUGAUUCAACCGUAGCAGCAAAUUUCCCAAGAUUAGUUGCUGCAGCUCUCCUUACCAUCGGCAUAUCAUCCUGACAAAGCUGAGUAUACAACGAUCUUAACUCAGUCUUCAACAUAUCCGGCGCGCUCGGGUAUGCAAUAUGGAAAACACCGCAAGCCGAUACUCUAGCUGUGAACCACUCACCAGCGGCAAGUCGCUUAACUAACGAAAUGAAAUGAUCAACCAAGUCACUCUCCCUCAUCUGAGAGCCAACUCUACAAAGCGACUCAACAGCUUUCUCCCUAACACAAGUUUCUUCGACAGUCGAAAGAGUUUCCAAAGGUGGAAGAAGAACAUGUGCAUACUCAACACCACCAACAUAAGGAAUAAACACACCCAAUUCUUCAGCCAUUGCUAAUAAAACCUCAUCAUCAUCGUCAUUGUUUUCGCUAAGGAAAGGGAUCAAUUCCUUUCUAGUCCUCUCUUCCCCAAGAGCACGAGCGAUCGUAGAAAGCCUUCUGAUGGAAUUCAAUCUUAGCUGAAUAUCAUCGUUUUUUAACUCGUCUAUAAGUACGGCGAUUGGGUACAACGGCUCAUCGAUCAUAGACAUCUUCAACAACACCAACAACAAAAUUACAGCAUAAUUAUAACGAGAUCGUAAAAUCAAUUUCCAGAGCCCAAUUCUCAGGAGAUGAUCAAUUAGGCGAAUCUAAAUUACCAUUUCUAUCAAAAGAUAAACAGACCAACAAUCAAAUCGGAAAUUGGGUCUUACCUCAACACAAACACGGCUCAAUUUUCUCCUCAACGAAACACAAAAUUUCGUUCGACCUACGAAGAAAAAAAAGAGGAUCUAAUGGCGAAAUGUCUCUUUUCUUUAUUGAGAGCAAACGACGACGUCUUUAUUUAAUUGGAACCAUACCCUUCUUAAAUGGGCUUUAACGGGCCUUUUGGCCCACGACGUUUAUGCUGUUUCGGUCAGGACUUUACUUUUGCGAUUCAUUUCUUGCAAUUUACCAAUUUUAUAGAGUUUUCACUAUUCCUUCGUGAAAUAUAAAUUCAAAUGUGGAAAAAACAUUACCGAUACAAAUGAUAGAAUUUUCUAAAAAUGACAUAACAAAAUUUCCAUAAUAUAAUUACAUUUGUUAUAAGUACAACGACAAUAUGUGUGUAUACUAACAAAUUAAAUUGAUUCAUCUUCGAGAUUGAGAAACAAAUGAUAUGCAAGUAAACCAAAAACAGGAACAAACCUUAGAUACUUCACCAAUUCAAUCUUGUUCUUCUUCACAUUUUGCAGGUUCUCUCCAAUCAACCAUGGCUGAAAGAUUGUGUACAGACAUAUAUCCCAUAUAAACGCGUAAGCUAGUCUCUCCGAUCCCAAAUAACCAAUCAGAUACUGCCAUCUGUCCAUGAUUCCACCGAAAUCACCAUCUGCUCGACCGUAGAGAGACCACAAUGCUGAUAUCAGACACACCGUAGCUCCGGUCAGACCAACUAUUGGUGCACCUUUGGUCAUCACUUCACCAAGUUGAGACCUUUUGCUUGGUUUAUCAUCUGGGUCAGCGUCAUUGAGCCGUAAAGCCAUGUAUGGGAUUAGAAACGCUGUUUGCAACAUGAGAUCAACAGAACCAAUAAUCUAGUUUAGAGGGUUGCUUUCCAGAGAAACUGAACUUCUUAAAUAAAAACUAAAGUUGUAUUUACUGUUUGUAAGGAACAUCAUGAGACUCCAUAAGACGUCAAGAGAGCUUUUGUAUCGAUUUCUCUUUCGGUCUGUGUAUAGCAAUGGAGCAAACAUGAGUGUCCAAGCUAUUACAAAGUUGAAUAACCCUUCAGCCAUCUGUUGAAUUUAAAAAAAAAAAAACAAUUUCAGAACGAUUUACUUUCACUAAUACACAAAAACCUGUUCAGCUCAAAGGUACAAACCGGGUGAAGAACAGGAGCUUGUAAGAAGUGAAUACCAGCUGUUCUGUCACAAAGUCCAUAAGCAAGAAACUUUCAUCAAAGAUCAAACAGGUAAACGAAAUCGAUAUAUCUUAAGGCUGAACAUACCGGCGUUUGUAAGAGGCAAGACAAAGAAGAAAUUCAGAGAAAGUCCCAAAAGAGAAUUCACUGUCUCUGAACUAAUUGCCCAAACUGGAUCUCCCUGUUGAUCAUAGAGAUUAUUUUCUAAUUAAGCAACCAUACAAGAUUACACAAUCUAAGAUAAUGCUAACCACAAGCACAUAUCAUGAUAAUCUAUAGAGAGAAGAGCAAAUCUCAGUAAUAAGUUGAAGAUAACAACAAAACUAUUCGAUUCUCAAAGCAUUCAAGCAGAGAAAUUGAAAAAGUUCUCAUUCCUAAAAUCAUCCAAAAUCCAAAUUACUUUUGAAGAUUCAUCAAUGUGAUGCUACAUAAACCUUCCAAACAUUCACAUAAUCCAUAGAUAAAUUAGUAGCCACAUAGAACUAUGGCUAUAUCAGGAACUAUGAGUAUGAUUCAAAAAGAACAAACCUACUAGAUUCUCAAAACAUUCAAGCAGAGAAAUUGAAAUGGUUCUCAAUUCCUAAAAUUAUCCUAAAUACUUUCAAGAUUAAUCAAUGUGGUGAUUCUACAUAAACCUUAGAAACAUUCACACAGAUAUAUCAAUGUCUCAAUCUCAGGAACUAUGAAUACGAAUUUUUGAAGGUAUUAUCACUCACAGGAGCGUAAGGGAGAAGAAAGAGCCAUAGUAUAUACACAGCUUCACUAGUCCAUAGAAGAUACCGAACAAUUCUCCUUAUAGAAUCAUCUUCAACCUCUACCGUCGCCGUCUCCGGUUUCCGGCGAGCACAGCAUAAGAAGGAACUGUCUCGUGUUCGUAAUUUGAAACGAUUCGUAGACUGCCAUGGAUUGUAGCAGCGAUCGACUGUGGAGAUUUCUCUACUCCGAAGAAAAUGGCGGCGAAUUUGUGGCGAUUUGAUUUGGGAACUGUGGAGACGGUGACGGAGAUAUGUCAACGUCGGUGAGGUUAUCAGAAUCAUCGUCGUCCCUUCACUGCAUUAUCCACCGUUUAGUCGGAGAAUUUUUUUUAUUUAUCUGAGAGAGACUUGCUAAAACGGCAGCGUAUUGGUUAUCUAAAUUUGAAAGCAACGACGUCGUUUUAAUUGAAUCGAAUUACACAUUACAGUUGGCUUUAAACAGGCCAUUGGCCCACGGCCUUAUAAAACGCCGUUUCGGUGAGACACUGAAAUUGGAUAGUCACAUCAUUAUUAUGGGUGCUAAGCCAAAUAUCUUUUUCAUCAUUAUUAUUCGACAUUCCUCAAUUUUCGUCAACUUCUUUUAACAACCCCAAAAUCAUGGUUAUAUAACUUUGCUUUAUAUCUAGAGGCUUAGUUAAAUAAAUAAAUAAAUUCAAAAUUAAAAGAACAUUGAAUCAUGUAGGCAAGAUUCAAUUUCAACUAUUUUGGUUAAUUUUAUUAUUUAUUUUCAUUUAAUUAUUGUGGAACGUAUGAUUUAUUCAUGUAGAUAGUUUUCUAAUCUCAUUAGAAUAUCUUAUCAUAUAAUUUAAGUGUGGACCAAAACAUAAUUUAUUUCUUCUACGUUAUUUCUCUUUUUUUUUUGUGUGCAAAAUACUUGUAUUCAUUCAAUCAAGAAAGAACCAAAUACAAAGAGAACUGACUUAUUUCUCUAUAUGUAAAUUAUUGAAGAAAUUAUACCUUUUAAAAAAAUAAAAAUGUAUCGAGAUACAUUUAAAUUUCUGUUGUAUGUAAUGUGUAUACGUGUAAUCCAAUUUCUUGGGAUUCUAUAUAAUUAUUUAUGUUGUUAUGGUCUGUACAAAAAUAUCACAUGCUUAUAAUAUAAGAGAUAUUUCUUUUAUACGUAUGUAUUCUUUUAAUGGUUUUUAAUAUAGCAAUAUUAAGAUUCAUUGUUCAUCUAAAUAAGUUUUUAUUAGUUAGCGCAAAAAUAAAAACUCGUUUGGAGAAACAAAAAAUGGUUAAAGCGAUUAAAUAUUGUUUUUCAAUACAUUAAAAUUGUUUGCCAUCUUCUAAAGUUGUUUACUCACUUCAGAAUACAUAUGAUACUCUCUAAUGGGAAGAAUCCCAUGAGCCAAAACCAAUUGUCUUUGGAGUAGAAAAAACUUAUAGAUCUUUUUGUGGAAUCAUAACCCUAGAUUCAGUAGGGUUUAUUGAAAAAGGAAAAGAUAAUACAUAUCCUAACAAGACAUAUCCAAACUAAUCCACAAAAAAACUAGACGAUUCGUGAUAUAUUGGAGAUAUCAAAUGUACGAUGUGGCUUCGAAUUCCUGCCAAAUUCAAAGGGAUCUAAAAGGUCUUUAAUGAUUCUUCAUAUGUCAUGAAUUUCUACUACAUUGGGAUGAAAGUAAGUUAGUUAGUUUUUAUUUGUUUGCUUUUCAUUUUUGCUAAAAUUUUUGAUGAAUUUUAUCAAAUAUAAAACACAGUAGCGUAGACUAUAUUGUUAAAUUUUUUUUGAUGAAUUUUAUCAAAUUUAAAAAUACAAUAGCGUGAUUUUGAGAAUAAAGCCUAUAAUUUUCCUUCAUACGGCUUAUUGAGUAUACAUUAGAACUAUAUUUUUUACAAUAGGAUAACAUAGUUCUGAAAUGAGUAAAUUGAAAAGAGUUUUUGAAUUGAUUGAAGUAUGAUUCUGGUUGUUUAGAAAAAAAAAAAAAAUUAAUAAAAGAAUUAAACCAUUAUGUGUGAACUGUGAAUCCAAAUAUUGUUCUUUUUCUCACUUUUAUUAGUUAAUCACUGAUAUAUCUCAUCAAUCAUAGAUAUUGUUUGCAAAAAUACUUAAACCGUUUUGUGUACAUUACGAUCACAAAACAAGAGAAUCACAUAACCUUUUUUUCAAACUAACUUUUUUUAUUAAGUUGAAUCAAAUAAGUUUACUUCUAUAUUAUUUAAUUAUAUCUCUCUACAACAUUUAAAAACCAACACGUAAAUUCGUAUUAAAAUAAUAUGGAAAUUGUUUUUUCAAAAUCCUCUACACAUAUAAGUUAUUUGAAUCAUUAAAACGGAGUUACAAACUUUUUUUCUUCGAU
Molecule: long non-coding RNA, 74049 nt
Filed under: Arabidopsis thaliana (thale cress)
Lineage: Eukaryota; Viridiplantae; Streptophyta; Magnoliopsida; Brassicales; Brassicaceae
Description: long non-coding RNA (ATHA_LNC000118)
Source: RNAcentral